GUGAUGGUGUAAGUGAGGGCCAAUUUGACAUGGUUCUGAACGAAGAAUUACUUGAUCUCAAGAGAGCAAUCCAGGGGGGAAAUUACUGCCCGACCAUCACUCUUAUUGUGGCCCGGAAGAGACACCUAACCCGGUUGUUUCCUAAGGUAAAUGAUCGGAGCUUUAAUGGGAAUGUGCCUCCAGGCACUGUUGUGGACACAACAGUGGUCCACCUAUCUGAGUUCGACUUCUAUCUUUGCAGCCACUAUGGUACACUUGGGACAAGCAAACCCACGCACUAUCAUGUCCUACACGAUGAGCACAGGUUUAGUUCUGACCAGAUCCAGAAGCUUAUCUAUAACUUGUGUUUCACCUUUGCUCGGUGUACAAAACCUGUCUCGCUGGUCCCACCAGUGUACUAUGCUGACCUUGCUGCCUAUAGAGGAAGGCUGUACUAUGAUGCAAUUGUGGCAGAGGUUGGAGCUUCAGCUGCAACUUCAUCAUCAGUUGCCUCACCAUCAUCAUCAUCGGCUGGAGCUUGGCUCAAUGACAGGCUUUACCGUCUGCAUGGUGCUCUGGAGAACAUGAUGUUUUUCAUCUGAAAAGAAUCAUGGAUCCGGAUCUCCUUUUCUACUUGCUGUACUGAAGAAGAAGGUUCUACAUAUCUGGUGAAAAGGCCUGUAGCAGCUUCAACAACAACCUCCUUUCCUAUGCAUAAAUUAGUAAAGGAGUUUGUGCGUGAAUCUAAUGGGUGUCUAGUGAUGUUAGUUGUCAUGGCCAAUGCUGGCCACAUGCUAACAUUUUCACCGUGUUUGGACAUGUCUAUUUUGUUGUCGUUCCAAGUGUGUUUGUGAGUUGUAUUUACUGUUGUGUGUGUUCAUGUAUUACAGGGUUUGCAGGGUUGUGAUGUGAUGUCUGUGUGUUACUGUUUUUAGGUUGUUCUGGUCUGCACUAUGUCUUUCUUCAAUGGGUUUCUACUUUUAAGUGCCUAAUGCUACAAUGACCUCGUUUUUUUGAGUCGAGUGAAUUACUUGAAUCCAAGCCACUUGUUUUCUUUUCUUGUCUUUUGCAACCAAGGCGGUAUUUCAACGAACAAUUAUGUAUGUGUAUACACCCAAUUUUAGGCCGACCUUUUUUUUUUUUUUUUUUUUACCAUAGAGGCUUUUAGACACUUCUAAAGACCUUAGCUGGGAAGGACACGUGGCGUGGCAUAGGAGGAUAUUCUGGUGGUUUGUUGAGAGCAGAGAGAGAUAUAGGCUGGGGGAGUGACAUGUGGCAGUGGGAUUCUCUGGCCAUUAGAACUUUUCCUGUAGUCUUGGAGGGCAAGAAAGAGAAGCGGAGAAGGGAGGGAGGAUUUUUUUCAGCAGGUUGGGGAGUUUUAGAGAGGGAGCAUGUCAGCAGAUUGGGGGAGUUUGGGAGAGAGUGAGGCUGUUAGAGAGAGUGGGAUGGUUGGACAGUAAGAGGGUGACACGCUUCUGGGAGGGGGGUUUUUGGGUGUCUUGGGCAGCAAGAAAAUUUCAGAGAGCAGAGGCAGGCAGAGGAUGGUUGGAGGUUUUUGAAGAGGAACGGUGAGAGAGUGCUGUUGAAGGAGCGGGGUGAUAUUCUGGGUUUUAGAGAGAAAACUUGAGGAGGAUUUUUCUGGUGAAGGUCUGUUUCGAGAGAGGUGCAGAGAGAGGCUUGGGAAGCAAGAAAGGAGGCAGAGCAGAAGAAAAGGAGAGGAAAACCAGAGCUGGAAGCAGAGGGGGAGCUGGAGCAGAGAGGGGAGCAAAGAGGAAGCAGGGGGAGUUGGAGAUUUCUUCUGAGGUUUUAGAGAUGAAAGCUUGGUCGAAGCCAAGCAGAUCAGUAUGAUUAUCGGGUCUCCCAUUUUCUACUGUUCUCAUUUCUUUCCCUGUAUAUCUAUAUCUAUGGAUGUUAUUUGAUGCUUUGAUAUAGACACCAGAUGCCAGAUUUCAUCUUGUUGAUCAUUGGUUAGCUAUGGACAUGUCAUUGGUUUACUCAUCUUUUUCCUUUGAGUUAAGUUUGGGGAAUGAAUCUGAUUGAAGACUUGUUGUUGCUUGAUGUUUGGGGAAUCAUAUUUUAGUUUCUUUAAUUUCAUCUUGGAACGCUCAGUUGUUCCAAGCCCAUGGACAAAUAAUGAAAUGUGGCUUUUUUGGCUGCCCACUCGUUGUCUUCCUCUUCUCUGUUUCUUUUGGGUUUCAUUUCAAUAUUUCUGCAUCUCUUUCCUUUACCCUUCUCCACUGCCAUUCACUCCUCCCCCACCACCUCAAUCCAUGCCAAUGCCGCCACAAACUGUGAUUCUGAUAGCCCUCCAGUGCUCUGUCUCAAAGAUGAUUCCUGCUUCUGAUUAGGGCAGUUUCUUUAACUAUUGGACGUGUUUUCUCCGACCUAAGAAUUAUAGGUCCAAACUAUAUGUCCCUGGUGAGAAGAAUGAUCAGUAUGUCAAGAGUGUGCAGAGGAUUGUUAUUUGGAUGGGAAAGAAGCAGGAAAUUGUUGAGGAUGUGCCCUAUGGAAACACUGUUGCUAUGGUUGAUUCGGAUCAGUUCAUCACUAAGGAUGCUACAUUGAUCAAUUGAGAAGGAACUAAUGCAUGGGAAUUUGCUUCUGAAUUAAUUGGUGGCCUGUACUCUUCCUCGGCAUGGUGUGGACAAUGUAAGAAGCUAGUUCCUGAGUGGAAAAAGGUUUCUAAUAACUUGAAGGGGACAGGUGGCUCUUGCCCUAGGCUAUUGGUUGCAUGGCAAUAUUGAAGUCAUCUGAGAUGGCUUAUGUGACUUGUUUAAAACUGGCUAAUGUGUGUAUGAAGGUGAGUUUGUCUACACAGCAGAGGGACGUUUGGGUGAGUAAAUAAGGAAACUUGAAGAUAUUUCUAUCCAUGAAGUGUAAUCUGCUGAUGAUAUAUUAAACAUUGCCAGUACCUUACGGGCAAUGCCAGAAGUUGAUCCCGAAACACCGAAGAUAGAGGGCUAACUGAAGACCUUUCAGAUGGACUUCAGAUUUUCGGAACGUGCUUCAACUGUAACUGAAAUCCAUGAGCAUCCGAGGCACAGCAUGCAAGUGAAGUCACACCAAGCAGAGGGCUUCGUUUUUCUGGUAAGCAACUUGGUGGCAGAAAAUCCCUGGGGUUGCAUUCUCGUUCAUGCUCCAGACCUUGAAAGUCUGAAAUGGCCUCAGUCAUAUAGUCCUAUAAAAUUUGUGAGCCAUACAAGUCAAAGGGGUUGGGUCUGGAAAAGGAAAUGGAUUUCAAGUGAUGUAAAGCAGCAGAUACCUGUUGGAUUACUAGAGCUGGAAGACGCUAUUUUCCUACGUCUGUCAGGCUUGACACAAUCUGGAUUGUCAAAUGUUGGCAAGGAUCAUUUGCAAGCAUCCAUUCUUGCAUUGGGAGCUGGCAGGAAUUCUAGUCAUACCUGAUCCAUUAAAACCUGGUGUUGGUGGUGUGAAAUCUGUCCAACCCGCGUAUGGGGCAGACCUGCUUCUAAGCAGGGCUCUUAUCAUGGAUGAUAAGAACUGAAAUGACAAACCUAUUUGUUUUCUUUUAGUCAUUUAAAUUAUUGGUUUCUGCUAAUCACUUCUAUAGAUGAUUUUUUUUUUUUAGUCAUCUAUAUUAUAAUUUUAUGUUAAUAUCAAAAUUUAUUAUAGCAACUUUAGAGAUCAAAUUCGUAAAAUAUCAAUAAUUUAAUAUUUGAAAAAAUAAUUUUAAUUAUUAAUUUUAAAUGUUAGUAAUAAUUUAUACCAUAUUAUUUCAUUCUUGACUUUUUUUUUUUAAUAUAAACUUUAAGGGUUAAGUCGAGUGUAUUCACUUUCAAAAUGUAAUUAAUGAUUGUGAAAAUUUGAUUUUAUUAUUUUAAAUACACAACUAUUUUUUUACCAUAUUCAAUGAGAUAAAUUAAAUUAAAUUCGAGAGUUUCCUAUAUAAUUUGUUAUUAAGAAAUAGUUUGAUGAUAAAUUUUUUCCUUUAAAUAAUUUAUAAAUAAAUUUAAAUUAAUUAAAAUAUUAUAUAAAAUGAUAUAACAUACUAAUAAUUUAGCCACAAAUAUGGUAUUAAUCCAUAAAUAAUAUUCAUAAAUAGCUAUAUCAAGUAUAUUGUAAUGUGUUAUAAUAUUAAUAUAAGAUUAUUCUUCAUAUUUUUUAAAUUAUUUUAUAGUUUUUAUAAUUAACUUUAAACUGUAUUGGUAUUAAUCUUACUUCUAUCUUAUUUUUUAAGUUAACUUUUAGUUUUUUGUUGACUAAUUCAAAUAAAUUCUUUAAAUUCAAAAUUUAUUAAAGUAAAUUAAGAGAUGUAUAAUAUUAAUUAUGCAAUAUUUGAAAAUUAAUUUUUUAUUUUCAUUAAGUAGUAAUGAUUUGGAUAUGAGAGAGAUAUAAAUAAUUAAAUGUUUAAAAAUCAAUUUUACUUAUUAAUUGUUAAUAAUUAAUAAUGACGAUAUCAUAUCUCUUCAUAUUUGAGUUAUUCCAAAGGAAUGACUUUUUUUUUUAAUUCUUUAAAUUCAAAUUUUCAUAUUCAUAUGAUUCAAAUUCUUUAAACUUAAAUUUUAAUGAUGUCAUGGGUUGGAAUAUAUAUAAUUAAAACAUGUGGUUACUAUUCACGUAAGAAGUUAAAAAGUUAACAAUAACUCAUUGAUUGUUUGUAUUGUUUAAGAUUCUUAUUUUUCUUAUUUAAGGAGGUUUGAUCCUCAUAGGCAGAUCGAAUUUUAAGCUCCUUAAGCUCUCCCUUCUCUCUUUUGUCUCUCUCAAGAUGUAAGCUUUUUAGUUGAAGUUUUCCUUUCUUCUUUCAUCUCCUAUCACUCCAUUGUAAGUUAUCUCUCCUAAAUAUGUACGCUUUCAAUUUUUUGUAGUAUAUGAAUUUUACGUUUUAUGUUUUAAGUUCCUUUAUUUUAAAUUAUAGCCCCAAAUCAUAUAUAUAGAAGUUUUCAUAACUAAAAAUACGUAAUUAUUUCAUUAUUUUUUUAUUUAAUUAUUUUUAAUUAAUAUUAUAAAAUUUUUGUAUCAUUUGUAUUAUUGGUUUAUUUUUUUCAUAUAAUUUGUAUUAUUUGUUAUUUUUUUUGUGAUUAAACUAUAUAUGUGAAAUCAUAUAAAGGUAAAAAUUCACUCAACCUACAAUUAUAAAGAAUUAUAGAAAUAUGAUAAAUUUUCAUAGCCCGAAUUUUUUAUGUAAAUAUUAUUGUCACUACAAGAAAAAAAAAAAAAAAAGGUCUUCAUUGACAGUUUUUCAUCGUCAAGAUAAGGUAUAUUUGUUAAGGUAGAUCGGUAUUCACAUAUGUCAUCUAUACUAGUGUCAAGAAAUGAUAAAAGCAAGCUUGACAUAUGCAUAUGUUAAGGUAGACCUUAUUUCUAUCAAUGUAGGAAUCUUAUUAAUAUGACGUAUGUUAAUGUUUCUUCCACUUCAGUCAAGGUUAGAUUAAACAUAUGUGAAGGUUGACUCAUUGUUUUGUCAAGAUUAUAUUCAAUAUAUGUUAAGUUUAAGUAUGAUAUAUGUUAAUGUUGUUUUAUAUGCUUUUAAAUUUAAUUUACACAUGUCAAGGAUGUUUAUUUUAUUUUAUUUUAUUUUUUUCCAAAAUUGAAAUUUUAAUAUGUUAAGGUUCCUUUAUUCUUAUGUCAAGGAAUAUAGUUUCUUUUAUGUCAAGAUUUCUUUAUUCAUAUAUCAAGGAAAUUGUUUUAUUUCAUAUCAAGGUUGCAUAUGGAACAUGUCAACAACUUAAAUUGUUGCCCAAAUGAUCUGCAUCAAAAUUGAACCUAUUGUGUGUGUGUAUAUAUAUAUAUAGAUAAAGUACAUGAAUGUAUAAAAUAUAUUUAUUUUUUUUAAAUAUGAACAUGUAAGCAAAUAUAUUGACAAAAAAAAAACUUAAUAUUUGUGCAUAAUCUUGUAUUAUCAUCACAUACAUCCACAAAAAAAAGGCAAAUAUGUACCCAAAAAUCCAAUAGUUAUACAUGAUAAAUAGAAUGUAUGCAUGAUUUUAUGCCUUUAAAAGUACUGUAACUGCUGCAAAUGCCACCUAACCUUUUGCAAGUAGGAAAAAAACAUCAGUAUAUGUUUUUAUUUAAAAGAUUAAUAUAAAGAUAUAAACAUGUAUCCAAAUUGUUAGAAAAAUUAGGCUAAUCCAACCUAUGGUAAUCACCCUAGAGGGGGAGGGGGAGGGGGAGAAAGUGAAUAAGGUGAUGGUCUCUUUUUGUAAAUUUAAAUUGCAAAAGAUAAUUAUAUGCAAAUAUAUAAUAAAACAAUUGCAUAUAAAUUAAGAGAAUAGUGAAGAGAAAAUGCAAACACAAUAUUUUUAUAGUGGUUCGACGCAACUUGACCUACGUCUACUCUCCUCUAACUUUAAUCCCAAGCUUGAGGUUCCACUACUUCAAGGCUUUUAAACCAAGUCUUCAAGCAAUACAAUUGGAUUAUGAUUCCAAUCCACCCUCUUAGACUUUUGGCUCCAAGCACCCUUUACAAUUCUCAAGAGAUACCCCACUCUUGAACAACCUCUCAAGUGAUACCCUACACUUGAGAAUCUCUAAGUGAUACCUCACUCUUGAACAACCCCUUAAGUGAUAUUCCCCACUUGAAAAUCCCUAAGUGAUACCUCACACUUAGACUUUUCUUCUCAAAGAUUUACAAAUGAUUUCACAAAAUUCUAGUACAAAACUUUAGACUCAAAUGAUACAAGAAAACUAGGAUUGAAUGAUGCACUAAUGAUAUGCAAGUUUUAGAACAAUGGUGCACUAAAAGAAUACUCUCCUAAGGCUCAAAUAUAUUCAAGAAAGGUUUAAGAAGGUUAAACUCAUGAAACAAUGAAGAUGUGAAGGCCUUUUAUAGAGGAAAAAGGCUAAACUAGCCGUUGGGGGUUCAAUCGGUUGAGCUGGGGGUUGACCGGUUGACUAGCAGUUAGCAUUUAAUGCUUGGUGAGUGACCUUUGGACCUCGACUGCCCCUUGACCGGUUGAGAUGGGGGUCGACCGGUUGAGGUUCAACCUUGAUUGGUUGAACAAUCAUUCUGGAAGAGAGAGAAGAGUUUUUUGCCCCCCUUGAUCGGUUGAGUUGAGGGUUGACUGAUUCCUCAUCCGGUUCAACUGGUUGAGCCGUUUUUGGCUCAACAACCAACUUUUUCAACUUAAAACCUUUCAAACAAGUUUGGAAAUCAUUUGACACAAGGUUUAAUUGAAAACAUGAAAUCAUCCAAUUUUAAAGGAUUUAAAAUGAAAAAAAACUCUUGGAUGAUUUUGGUGCAUAAGUAAAGAAUGUAAUGCAUGAAAAUCCUAGUGCACCAACAACCUUACAAAUAGAUCUUAUGAAGUUUGACUCUUGAAAAACACUUAUCUUUGAGGUCUUCUUCUUCUUAAUGAUUUUUCUUUGGCUUGAUUUAUCUCUGUGAUUGCCACUUUGAAAAUUGUCUUGCCUAAUCACACUUGAAAAAUAAUCAUUAGUUCUAAACCUUGUUUUGUUAUCACCAAAACCGAGAUUAACCAAACCUUGGUUUCACAAUCUCCCCCUUUUUGAUGAUGACAAAACCAAGGUUGCUAAAAAGCUCCCCCUCAAUAUAUGCUCUUUUGAAUUUAGAAAAUAUUCAAGUUUAGAAACUUCAAGGAGUAUAUUAAAGGUACUCAAAAUGAUAUAAUAAAAAAUAAAUAGCAUAAAGAGCAACAUAGCAAUUGGCAAGAUAUUAUUAUUAAAUAUGAUGCAUGCAAUUAUAACCAAUAAAACACAUAGCAUCAAUAUGAAUAGGAUUGCUAAAACGAUAUUGACAUUUUUUCCCAAGUUAGCAACCUAUCAUUAUUUCUCCCCCUUUUUGUCAUCAACAAAAAGUUUCAAUAAAGUAUAUAAGGGGAAUCAUAUAAUAUCAAAAGUUAAAAAAUAAACAAUAAGCAUAAUAUAAUUUUUCAUGAAAAUUAAUCUUCCCCUUUUUCAUUUAAGAACAUUUUUCAAAUAAAAGGUUGCUCCGUCUUAGAGCAUUCUCAAUUUAAAGUAUGAUUUGGAAAAGAUAUAUGGGAAAACAUAAGCAUUUAAAAAGAUAUACAACAGGCAUUGAAUAACACUAUUGGAGCAUACAAGCAUUUGAUCAUUCAAUUUUACCUAGAUAUAUAUUAAAAAAAAUCUUAUUUUUAAUCCAAACCUUGGUUUAACAAAUAUACCAAUUUUAUCAAUGUGAUACCAAAAGUUAUAUAACUAACAAAAAUUAUACCAAGUGUUAGUAAAAUGAUAAAAUGAUAUUGCAAAUUAAGCUUUAGAAGGGAUACCGUUACUAAUAUUAUUAAUGCAUUCUUUCCAAGAUAAGCAUAUCCUCCUUCUUGCAUGGAUCUCUACAAAACAAAUUAAGUAACCUUUGGUACCCACAUCUUUUUGGGUCCUAGAGGAUUAGUCUUUCUUCCCUUUGGAAUCCAAAAUAAUUUAGAGUUUUGAAAAACAUGAGGGGAUUUUCUUAAGGGACAAAUAUCACUAAUGUGACCUUCUCUUCUAUAAAGAUUGCAAAUAGUUGAAGGUGAAAAACUAGAGGCUUCCUUUAAUAAUUCUUAAAAUAUUUUUGAUUUUUGAAAGGCUUGUAACCUAGCCUUUUUUUUUUUUUUUAAUCAAAAAUGCAUUUUUGACUUGCCAAAAUCAUAUCAAAAGUCUUUUGACCAUUUGAUAAUUUUUGUAGAGAGGAUGUUAACCAUUCAUUUUUCUUUUUCAACUCCUCAUUUUCCUUUUCAAAAGAGAUUUUUGUCUUCUCAAUAUUUUCAAAAUUUUCCUUAAACUCAUUGAGCUCAUUGUGAAAACAAGAAAUUUUUUUCUUAAGAGAGACAUUUUUGAACCCAAGUUUGUCAAGAUCAAAAUAUAAUUCUUGAAAUAUAUCUUGAAACUCACUAUAGUUAGAGUUGGAAUUUACCUCAUCUUCAUGUUCCUCCAAAGCCAUGAAGCACAUGUUGGCAUCCUUAUUUGUGCAAUCUUCUUUCAUGGAGUGUUCAUCACUUCACUCUCUUCAUCUUCAUCAUCAUUUGUUGAAGCCAUAAAUGUUAUAUUUUUCUUAUUUUCUUCAACUUUUUUAUGAUUGUUCAAAUUUAUCUCAUAAGUCAUGAGUGAUCCAUUGAGUUCUUCAAGUGAGAGUUUGGUGAGAUCCUUUGCUUCUUGAAUAGCCGUCACUUUUGUUUCCCAUUUCUUUGGUAGAGACCUUAAGAUCUCCAAAACUUUCUCUACUUUGGUGUAGGUCUUUUCCAAGGCUUCAAGUUCAUUCAGAAUCACUAUGAACUUAGAAAACAUCUCUACAAUAGAUUCAAAAAUCCUUUAUAGAAAACAAUUCAUAAUCAUGCACAAGGAUGUUGAUUCUAGACUUUUUAACUUGGUUGGUUCCCUCAUGAGUGAUUUCUAAUAGUCUCCAAAUUUUUUUAGUUGACUUACAUUGCCAAACACGAUUAAAUUUAUUUCUCUCAAUAGCACAAUGUAAGAUAUAGGUGACUUUAGCAUUUAAUUGAACUUUCUUUUUAUCAAGUUCAUCCCAUUCUUGCUUAGGUUUUGGAACCAUCACUCCAUUUUCUAAUUUUGAAGGAAUGCGGGGACCAUCUUCAAUGACAUCCCAUAGAUCAAGAUUAAUAGAUUUUAAAAACCAAGACAUUUUUUCUUUCCAAUAGGAAUAAUCAAUUCUUGUAAAGAAUGGAGGUCGGGUGGUUGAAAAACUUUCAAUGUGAGAUGAGCUUGAUGGAUUAGCUAUUACUUCUUAGACGGUUAAGUCUUAAACAAGAGGCCUAACUCUGAUACCAAGGGUUAGAAAAAUUAGGCUAAUCCAACCUAUGGUAAUCACCCUAAGGGGGAGGGGGGGGGGGGGGGGGCUGAAUAGGGUGAUGGGAUCUUUUUGUUAAUUUAAAUUAUGUGAAUGAAAGGGAUAACUAUAUGCAAAUAUAUAAUAAAACAAUUGCAUAUAAAUUAAGAGAAUAGGGAAGAGAAAAUGCAAGCAUAAUAUUUUUAUAGUGGUUCAACGCAACCCGGCCUACGUCGACUCUCCUCUAGCUUCAAUCCCAAGCUUGAGGUUCUACUAUUUUAAGACUUUCAAACCAAGCCUUCAAGCAAUACAAUUGGAUUAUGGUUCCAAUCGACCCUCUUGGAAUUUUGGCUCCAAGCACCCUUUACAAUCCUCAAAAGAUACCCCACUCUUGAACAACCUCUCAAGUGAUACCCCAUACUUGAGAAUCUCUAAGUGAUACCUCGCUCUUGAACAACCCCUCAAGUGAUACUCCUCACUUGAAAAUCCCUAAGUGAUACCUCACACUUAGACUUUUCUUCUCAAAGAGUUACAAAUGAUUUCACAAAAUCCUAGUACAAAACUUUAGGCUCAAAUGAUACAAGAAAACUAGGAUUGAAUGAUGUACUAAUGAUAUGCAAGUUUUAGAACAAUGGUGCACUAAACAAAUACUCUCCCAAGGCUUAAAUAUAUUUAAGAAAGGUUUAGGAAGGUUAAAUUCAUGAAACAAUGAAGAUUUGGAGCCUUUUUAUAGAAGAAAAAUGUCAAACUAGCCGUUGGGGGUUCAACCGGUCGAGCUAGGGGUCGACCGAUUGACUAGCCAUUAGCAUUUAAUGCUUGAAAAGUGACCAUUGGACCUCGACCGGUUGAGGUUUAACCUUGAUCGAUUGAACAACCAUUCUGGAAAAGAGAGAAGGGUUUUUUGCACCCCUCGACCGAUUGAGUUGGGGGUCGAUCAAUUCCUUAUCUGGUUCCACCGAUUGAGUCAAUUUUGGCUCAACAACCAACUUUUUCAACUUUAAACUUUUUAAACAAGUUUGAAAAUCAUUUAAUACAAGGUUUUAGUUGAAAACAUGAAACCAUCCAAUUUUAAAGGAUUUAAAAUGAAAAAAACUCUCGGAUGAUUUUGGUGCAUAAGUAAAGAAUGUAAUGCAUGAAAAUCCUAGUGCACCAAUAACCUUACAAAGAGAUCUUAUGAAGCUUGGGUCUUGAAAAACACUUCUCUUUGAGGUUUUCUUCUUCUUAAUGAUUUCUCUUUGGCUUGUUUUGUAUUUAUGAUUGCCACUUUGAAAAUCAUCUUGCCUAAUCACACUUGAAAAAUAAUCAUUAGUUCUAAACCUUGUUUUGUUAUCAUCAAAACCAAGAUUAACCAAACCUUGGUUUCACACAAAUGUAUUCCCAAACAACCUAACAACUAUAUAUAAUCUUGUUAUUUUGUCAAAUAUAUCUAAAAAAAGGAUAGAUAUUUACCCAAAAAUAACCAAAUAUCAAGUAGUUGUACAUGAUAACAAAAACAUAUGCGUGAUAUUUUCCUCUAAAAAUUGCAACUACUGCAAAUGUCACCUAACCUCUGGCAAGAAAGAAAAAGUAACAUUAUUUUUUAUUUGUGUUUGAAAGUUCAUUAAAAAGAUAUAAAUAUGUAUCAUAAAUAUAUCGAAAUCUAUCCACAAACAACUUAGAAAGUAUACAUGAUCUUUUACUAUUAUUAAAUAUAUAUAUAUAUAUAUAUAUAUAUAUAUAUAUAUAUAUAUAUAUAUAUAUAAGAUAUUUACUAAAAAAAGAACCAAAAAUUAAAUAAUUAUGCAUGAUAACAAGAACUUAUACAUGAUCUUGUACUCUAAAAAUUGCAAGUGAUACAAAUGUCACCCAACCUCUUGCAAGUAAAAAAAACAAUAACAACAUUACUUUAUGUUUAUGUUUCAAAUUUUUUUUAAAAAAAAGAUACAAGCAUGUACCCAAAUAUAUCCAAUGUGUUAACAAACAACCAAGCAACUAUACAUGAUCUUGUACUCUUAUCAAAUAUAUAUGUGUGUGUGUGUGUGUGUGUGUGUGUGUGUAUAAAUAGAUAUUUACUAAAAAAUCCAUUAGUUGUACAUUAUGACAAAAACUUAUGCAUGAUCUUGUACUCUAAAAAUUGUAAAUGUUGCAAAUAUCACCCAACCUCUUGCAAAUAAGAAAAAAACAACAUUAGUUUUUGUUUAUAUUUAAAAGUACUAAUUAAAAAGAUAUAAACAUGUACCCAAAUACAUGAAAAAAAUAAAAAAAUCUAGCAAUGAACUUUUAGGGAAAAAAAUAUAGAUAAUAUAUGUACCUAAAAAUAUCCAAUAAAAUAAAAAACUAAUCGCAACUCUACAUACAUGAUAGCAAGAACCUAUGCUAAUGUUGUAUUCUUAAAAUUUCAACUACUGCAAAUGUUAUUCAACCUCUUGCAAGUAGAUAAAAAAUCUACAUUACUUUAAGUCUAUAUUUGAAAUUUUACUAAAAUGGUAUUAACAUGUACCAAAAUUUAUGCAAAAAGAAUCCAACAAACAUAAUAAUAAUAAUAAUAAUAAUAAUAAUAAUAAUAAUAAUAAUAAUAAUAAUAAUAAUAAUAAUAAACAUGAAUUGGUACUUUCAUCAAGUGUAUUUUUUAAAAGAUAUAGGUAUGUACCCAAAAGUAUCCAAAACUUUAGUAUCUAUGCAUGACAAUAAGAUCUUACGUAUGAUCUUGUAAUCUCAAAAUUGCAACAACUGCAAAUGUCACCUCAUACCUUGCAAAGAGGAAAUAUGCAAGAUUAAUUGAAAUUUAUGUUUGAAAUUUUAUUAAAAACAUUAUAAAAUUCAUAUACCCACUAUACUUGGUCUAAGAUAAGAGUGCUAAAAAAUGAGAUCCAUUCAGAUCUCACUUCAUCUAACUCAGCUCGUGAAUAGGUUUUUUUCUUUUCAAACUAAAAUAUAUGACAAGAGAAAAUAUGUUCAUGUGAAACAUUAAAUAUAUGUAUAAGUUCUCAUGUACUUAUGAAAAUACAUAGGUAAAUAAACUUGAGAUGUUAGGAGACUUCUAUUUGCUAUUAUGUUUUGCAUCUAUCUCAUGAUAAAAUAUCAUCACAUGACACCAUCCAACUGUUUGGGCCAUCAUGAGCAAAAUUAUAUCAACAAAAUUUCACGAUCAAAUAUGACACCAUAUAAAUUUGGUCAAAUUUUUCAUCCUUCACAUUUUUAAUUUUAUAAAAACAAUGAAUGGCAUAAUGUUAGUUUCAAGUAAAAUUUGCACCUAAAUUAAGUUAAUGCAUAUCUAGCAUUAUACCCUAAGCUCUCAUGUUUAAAACUUGGAGGGUUAAAUUGGGUAAAAUAUAAGAAUGUCAAAUAACAUGUAUAUGUGAAAUAUGGACAAAAAAAGGAAUAGAUAAAUGUAAUGAUUAAUUAUAUUUAUUAAGAAUAGUGAUUAACUUUAGAAUAAGAGAAUAGUUAACUUUUGUCUGUGUGAGAAUAUCCCUUAGAAAAGAUCAUGACUUUUAAGACUUCAUUAAGGUAAAUCAAUCAAGCUUCAAGAGCAAUUAUCGAUAAUAUAUUUGGAAAUAUGUAGUAUAAGCCUCCUUUUACAUCUCAUAGAUUGACAUUAUAGAAGAGAAAUACAAUUAAUAAUUAUAAGGAAUAAAUGUUUUACAUAUGAACAAUUUGAUUGAAGAUGGAUAAAAGAGUAAAGAGUUUAGAUUAAAGGGAAAGAGAGAGAGAGAGAGAGAGAGAGAGAGAGAGAGAGAGGUUGUGCCUUAUAGGAAACGUCUAAACUAAAUAUAGGAUGUUUAUAAGACAUAUUAAGGCCAAAAGAAAGAUAUAAAGAACAACUCAUACCUAAGUAACAUGAUCAAAGCUAUCUAAAAGAUCCACAGUGUUUCCUUACCCACACACACAUCUAAAUGGUUCUAAAGGAUUGUAAAUGCUAUGGAUAUAGUGAUCAAAAUUUAAUAAUUGUUCUUCCUAUGACCAACAUUUCAAAUUGACUAAUUAUGUAUACAUUAAUUUUUUUUAUGCUUGAAUUUUCUAAGGUUUGAUCUUCCACAUCAGAAUACAAUUGAAAAAAGUCUUCUACUCAUGCAUUUUUAACAAAAAAUUUCCUAUUUUUCUUUUAGUUGCUAUUACUAUUUCUUGAAAUAUUAAUUGUAAAAGGUGAAAAUGGAUCAUAAAUCUUUCAAUCACAUGAAAAAACAGGUUUGUUCCUUUUUAGUACUACUUCAUUACUAGUGGAAUAAUGGACAUAUGAUUACAUUGUAUUAAUAGCAAUUUAGAUUAUAUUUUCAUAAGGUGGUGAAACAAACAUAUAUCGUAUCCUUUUCAACUCAAGUUAGGAAUAUGAAAUAAUAACAAAAACAAUUAUAAGCUAAAAAAAUUCAUAUAUAUAUAUAUAUAUAUAUAUAUAUAUAUAUAUAUAUAUAGUGUGGAUCCCGCAUUUUGCACGAUGCGUUCCCAUUCGAUGGCGUGACUCGCUUUUUUAUUUAUUUGGUGAAAUUUUGAUUUUUUGGAAAAAGACUUAGAGUCGCCUCUUAUUUUUGUUUUAUUUUUUUUAAGAGAAUAAAAUAAGUAAGAAAACCCUAAAGGUGACUUAUUAUUUGAAAAAUACAGUCUGUAGAAAACAAAAGUCAAGUCUGGGGGUCAGAUAACCUAUUGGAAAGGUAUGGUGGUGAGUUGUAGCACCCGUCUAAGUCCUAUAAUAAGGUUUAUACUAAAUAAAGUGAGACAAGUGUGGCAAUUGAUAAAGAAAUCAAUGGAUACCAAUGAAAUUAUCAAAUAAUAAUGAGCAUAAGAACAAAUAAAUAAAUGAAGUAGGAGUUUUGAAGAAUAAAUUUGGAAAAAAAAAAAACUGGAGUUUUGAAAAUUAUUUGGAAAUUGGAGUUUUGAAAAUUAUUUAAAAAUUAAACUUGAAAAUUAGAGUUUUGAAAAUUGAAGUUUUGAAAAUUAAAUUUGAAAAUUGGAGUUUUGGAAAUUAUUUGAAAAUUGCAGUUUUGAAAAUUAUUUGGAAAAUCGGAAUUUUAAAAAUUAUUUAAAAAAAGAUUUGUGAAAAAAAAAAAAACUGGAGUUUUGAAAAUUAUUUGGAAAUUGGAGUUUUGAAAAUUAUUUAAAAAUGAAAAUUGAAAAUUAGAGUUUUGAAAAUUAAAUUUGAAAAUGGGAGUUUUGGAAAUUAUUUGAAAAUUGCAGUUUUGAAAAUUAUUUGGAAAAUCAGAAUUUUAAAAAUUAUUUAAAAAAGGAUUUGUGAAAAUCAAAUUUUGAUGCAUGAGGAAAAAGAAUCAAAAAGGAUAAGGGCACGUGAACUUCAAGGAUGGCCCACCAAAGGUGGCCAUGCACGGAGAGCUUUUAUGCAUGUGAGACGAGGAUACAUUGAAAUUCUUCCAAUUGGGGUUCAGGAUGCCUUAUAAGGUCAAGAUGUUGUUAGAUAUCUAGGAUUCAUUGGCUGAUUUGGGUCAAGACAUUAUCAACAUUUUAUAACAGGGGUUCUUUUGACAUUGUGCUGAGUCUACUUAUUUUAGUUUUUUCACCAUGAGGGUUGUCAUGAUUUUUAAUCAUCUUCCCAAUGUCAACAUUUUGCAUCUGCCACAACUGAACCCACACAUUGAAGGGUAUCAUUUAUUCUUAAAAUUUGAAGUGCCCCUACUCAAAGCUCAUGACUACUGACUUUGCCACUUGUGAAAAAUUCCAUGCCACUAUUGACUUGUCAUUCACCAUUUGCUUGCACUGUGCUCUAUGUUAUUAGUGAGUUACCAGCUCUUAAAAGUGAAGUAAUGAAUCUCCACUUUGAUAGAAGGCCUAGGUUCUCCAUGAAUUGCAUCAACUUGCUGCCUAUUUACACCUAGCAGCACAUAAGUCACCAUGUAGGACUUCAUUCCAAAGGCCCAGUUGGAGUGUUAAAAUAUACCCUGUAUUUGCUUCCAUUAUGACAACAAUGCCCUUACUGGGUAGUGCUCCUUCUGGAAUCUGGUUGGAAGAUAAGUUGGUCUUAUUUCUGCUUGAUGGUUCAAAGCUUUCUUUCUAGGAAUUGUUCAUUAUUCAAAAGCGUGAAAAUAAUAUGCAAGUCCUCAUCUUCAGCAACUCUUUUUUGCCACUACAUUGCUCAUUUCUUCCUUGAUGCCCAUCCUAUCUCGGAACAUUGCUAAAGCAAUCAAGCACUUACCAUGGAGAGGAUCAGCAGCACACAUUAUGUUCUUUGCGUCCCAUGUCUAUCGAGUGAGCUCUGGGACGGUAAAGGUGCGGUAUUGCUGUAACCCAUAGGAUGUGAGUGGUGCAAACCUGACUGAACUUCGAGCUUGACGAGGCCAUCUUUCUGACGUUGAAUAGAAGCCUCUCAUCAAUAGCAAUUCUCCAACCAAAGGAAAUGAGGAAGAUCACCACACACUACUUUAGGUUGACAUCAAAAUCCUUCUCUCUGUAUGAUCUCACAAGACUCCACCUCUACUUCUUUGGCAUAAUGUCAAGGUGGGAUGGUGCCGAAGUCGGCAAUAGCAUUGGUGAGUUAGCUUUCUUUAGGUCGAGGAGCUCGCAAAACCACUUGAAGGUUGUACCCAUUUGUCAGUGCUGAAAAACAACUAGUAAUUUUGGGUAUAUGACUUAGGGUUGCAUUUUCGAAAGCAAUCAAAAGAAAUGGACUAAAAUUAUAGAGGUUGUGGAGUACAAGGAAUAUCCAACAAGUUUUCAAAAGAUAUUUAAACUUCCAGAUGGUUUUCAAAAUAAUGGUAGGAAUUUUUUGAAAAAAAAAACAAUGAGGGGUCCCGAGAAAUAGAGCAUGCUCUAAACAAUCAAUUCAUUAAACUAGACCCCAUUUCAUGUUAUAGUCAAUGGAUCUAAGUAGGUGGAAUGAAUAAUGAGGAUUCGUAUGAUUAAUCAAAUAUUAAGCUCAAAGAAAACAAUCCAUAUAUCAAUCAUUUAUAGGGGGAAUAAAAAAAACUAGAAAGUGAACAAAAUAUAGCAAGUAUGAAAUGAACUCAGCUUCAACAAAACCCAAUCCACAACAAAUGAUGCUCAAGUAGCAAGGCAAAAUGAUGAAAAGCAAUGAAAAUGAGAAAAAAUGAAUAAGAGAUUUGCAAAGAAUCCAUACCUGAGGGUGUUCCUCUAAUCCUCUAAAAGCCUCCUCAUUGAAAGCCUUUUUUUUUUCCCAGCUAGUACCUACCCCAUUUUCCCUGCCUAACUCACUCUCAUUUUCUUCCAAAAAACCCCUUGUUUUUGCUUCCUCUCCAAGCCUCUACCAAUUCUAUUGCUUACUGUUUUGAAAAAAUGUUACCAUCCUCAUCCACCACCAUGGCAAGGUGGUAGUGUUGUCUUUGCCACAUGUCUCAACAGCUUGCUCACCCUUGGAAGUCGUCCUCCACUCCUAAAUAAAAUGCCCAACUCUUCCUGGUCCAAAUAGGAGUCUACAUAUAGGUAUAUAUUCAUGUGAGAGAAUUCCAUAUAGAAUCUUUACAUUUCAAAAAUCAAGUAAAUUUUAAUUCAAGAAAGCAACUUAAAUGUAGGUAAGUCUUCAAAAAGUUAGAAAAUGAACAAAAAGUUUAGGAGAAGAAAAAAAUGUAACCUCAAUAACUAUCCACUUUAGCUCUUUUUUUAUAUCAUUUCUUCUUUUGAGAUACAAAAAUUCGAAACCCCCUACAAAAAAUAAGAUUACAUUAGUGUUCAUUUUGAGACAUGAAAACUAAAAUUAUGGUAGACUUACAUGUUCACAAUAUCUUUUAUAUCUUGGUAUGGCUGUUGUAGUAGCGAGUAUAAAUAGUAGAUUGUUACAAUAUCUUUUAUAUCUUCGUAUGGCUGUUGUAGUAGCAAGUAUAAAUAGUAGAUUGUUUGUGAUUUCAGGUCAAUUACAGCCAAAACCCAAUGACUCCUACAAUAUAUUAACAUGCAAUUUAGAUAAAUAGCAUUUAUAAGACUAAAAAAUUAAAAACAAUUAUGAUUAACAACUUACUUUGGGUUAUAUUGAAGAAAAUCAGGUUUUCCAAUUUAAAGUCAAUUAGGCGAUCAACAAUGAACCUUGCUCUUUUUUCAAUUUAUGAGGCUAUUAAUCUAGCCUUGGACACCAUUCCUGGACGAACAAAUAUAAUUUUCUCAUGUAGUGUAUUAUCCCAAUGUUCAUGCAACUACCUAAUGAAAUGUCACCCAAUUUAGAAUUACUUAAAAAAAAAAAACUUCUACUUAUUUAUAUCAUGAAUGUAACAUAGAGAUUUACAACAAAAUCUCACCAAAUAUAGAAACAUAUACAAUUCAUAGUCAACUCUUUUUGCAGAAAUUACAUCCUUCAUUUUAGUUGAGAAAGGAUUGAAAUUUCAUCCCAAAAACAUUGAUUGGAAAGUCAACUUUGAGUGCCAAUUUACCUUCCAACAUUGCUGAAACUGUUUUAGAAAACAGCUGUAUAUCUCUAGGAUUUUCAUAUUUGAUUUUAUUUGGGGAUGUUUGUAUUUUCUUCAUUUUAUUCUUCCUUUUUCCAACAUCCUAAACACAUAUAAAUAGAUGCAUGGCAUUAAAAUAAAAAUAAAUAAACCAAGAGUGUAGGAAAAUAUAACACAACUUCGAAAGUUUGGGUAUAAUGUUAUUCACCUCAUCAUUUUCAUCAUCUAUCACAAAUGCAACAGGCCACAAAACCUCAUAUCCAAUACCCUCCCUUGUUGUACUAAUGUUUCUAGAAAGUGAGAAUGGAAGAAGUACAUUAGGUUGAAGAGGGUAAAGGAUGACCACUAAUAUAUCAGUACCGUCAAUGGAAAUCUUUGAAUCCCAUAAAUAAGUUCCAUAUGCAAUAAUGUUCUCUUCAGUUUCAAGAGCUAAUUUGCAUGUAAAAACAUAUUUUGUAAUCCUUAGUCUUUCAUUUUAGUUAUUUUAUAUAUUAUUUUUAUAAAUUUAGUUUAGGAAAAGCCAUAUAUAUCUCAGUUAGUGGAGAAGCUUUUCAAGUCCCUUGUGAUAGGAUGCUCUCCACAUGAGCACUAUAAUGAGUCUCCCUUCGUAUUUCUUCAUGUUGCAACAAUUGUUUCCUUAUGUUUGUGCUGCUCACUUUAGAGUGGGGUGUGAGGGCUUUUUUUUUUCUUUUUUUCUUUUUUUCCAGCUUUCAAAGCAAUAAUCUUCUCUUCCAAGCUUUUUACUUUCUCCCUUAACAUCCUUUGACAUUCUUCUUCUUCAAGAGUUUUUGUGGGUUUUGGUGUGUUGAAGAAUUGUUUGGGUUUUUUUUUCUCACAUUUUCCUCUAACCCAUCCAAGAUGCUCCAAUGUAUCCAAUGCUAAAGUGAGAAUAUCCUUUUGGCCAACACAUGUAAUCUUCUCUUCCUCAACAACCUUUGCCAACUCAACCUAUAAAAAAAUAUAAGAUGCUUCAAGAGUCAUAUUAAAUAAAUAAAUAAAAACAAAUGAAAUUGACUAAAACUAAGUAUAGGUUUGACAACUUAUAAUAUUUUCCGCUAUAGGCCUCGUAACAUCAUCAUAUAUACAUUUUUUCAAUCUUUCUAGUUUCCACAAGACCAAUCUAUCAAUAGUUUUCCUUGAACCUAUCUUUUGCAUCUAUCAAUAAACAAAAAAGUGAAGUAAUUAAACUUUACAAAAGUAAAUGUCCAACAAAAUAAAAUACAUUAAUUCAACUUACCAAUUCUUCCUAAAGUCCUACAUAUCAUUUCCUACUCACUCGAUGAAUAUAGACGUAUUUUGCCCUCCUUUCUUUUCCUUUUUAAAUUUAAUUUGAAACUCUAUUGACAGCCUAUUAGCCACUAACUUUCUCCAGUCUUCAAUUGGAAUGUAAUUAUAUUCAAUUGGUGGCUCUAAAGGGUACUAGGGCUUAUCCUUAUAAGGCAAGAUAUACUCUUUCAUCAAUGUGUGCUUGAAUGACCUAAAACUAGUCCUAAUGGAUGAUAUGAUGUUGUAUUUGCUAUUCUCGUCAACUAAGAAUGCACCCUAAAAUAUAAGACCUUGAUUAUUUAAUAAGCAAGUAAGGUUUACACAAAAUAUAGGAAAAUAAUUUCAGUAGAUUACUAUAUACCUUAUAAGAAGAUCUUGAUUAUUUAAUAAUCAUGUAAGGUCUACACAAAAUAUGGAAAAAUCAUUUUAAUAGAUUACUAUAUACCUUAACGCAAUCCCAUAAUUUCUCCUUCAAUUCCAUAGGCACUACUUUCCAAUCAAUAUGAUAUAUUGGUACCAUGGUUUGUGCUAGCACGCCCAAGUAUGAUACAAGUUGUACAUAUUCCUCACCCACUCCUUCACCAUCAUCAUUAUAUUGAAUAUCAAUUUUCACUUCUUCACUUCUCUUUUUAGCAAUUUCAAGUUUUAAAGUUGGGCCUUUUAACCUUUUUGGUAAAGUAAUCUUCUAUUUUCCUUCAUUUUCAUCCAUUUAUAUGACAAUCAAAAGAAUAUUAUUAAUCUCAAAAUACAUACAUACAUACAUACAUACAUACAUACAUACAUAUAUAUAUAUAUAUAUAUAUAUCUUACAUUCAAAAGUAAAGCAUGAUAUUUUAAUAGUUACCUGUUCUUUAUCUCUUCUUGGUGGAGACAUCCAUAAAGAUGUAUCACUUUUCUCCCAAGUUCCCAAAUAAUUAAGAAUUAUGCAAUAAUAAACAACACUUGAAAAUGUAUCUCAACUACAUAAAAAUAAAUUAGUUACAAAUAGAUUUCAUAAGUAGGAAUAAAUCAUUGUUGUACAAACUUUGCAAUAUAUGAAAAUUAAUCUUAAAUCUCGAUUAUGAAAUAUGCAUAAAAUUAAUAGGAUAAUCUAUUGCUAACCUCAACAACAUAUCAUUGAGUUUAAAGAAAAUUACAUGACUUAUCUUAUAAACACACACACACACACACACACACACACACACACAUUCUAUCAUUAUAGCUUAGUUAAAUUACAUCUAUUUUAGUCACUACUAUUGUAAGGUCCUAGUUGGAAUGCACGCUUCUAGUUAGGAUGCAAUACUCAUAAAAUGAAGUUUAAGGGUGUGGGUUGAGGAUGCAUUGCAAGGUGUUUGAUUUUCCUACUAUUAAGCAUAUAAGCAUUGAUAAUAUGUAAUGAGAUGUGGUUUCCUUAACUUUAAUGAUUCUAGGAUAUAUGGCUUCACUUACGCAAUAUUGAGGAUGGAGUAAUGUCACUAAUAGUUAACAAUAACAAACCAAAGACUAUGUUCAUUGAAGCUAAAUAAAUUGAAGAUGUUCUCUAAUUUGACAUAAAGUAAAAAAUCCACCAGAUUCACAUUAAUGAAACUUUAUUCGAAUUUUUUAAAAUUAAUGUUAUUCAAUUACACAAAAUUUUCAACUUGAUCAAUUAUCUCUCAAAAGAUUUGUUAUCUAUCAUAAACAAGUGACCUAAAACAAAGGAAUGACCAAGAAAAUAAAAAUUAUGGUAUUCAUAGAUCGUUUCAGUUGGAAAUAAGAAUAUUCAACUAUUACAAGGAUCAACUUCAUAUAGGGUAGUUUGUUAUUAUGUUUAUAGUUAAUUCAUAUAUGUUAUUUAUUAAUGUUUCAAAUCGGUUCAUUAUGGGUUGGUGGAUUCAAUCCAUCUUCCCAUAAAACUUUUUGCUUUGUUUUACACAGUACAUAGUUUAACACUUUGAUUUAAAGUUUUUAAUUCAAAUCCAUGGAAAUCUUCAAUGGGAAUACCCCUUAAAUUAUUUAAAAUUUGAAUUGAUAUGAAAUAGGUAAGUAAUGGCUCUAUCUUGUCUAAUAUGAAAUUAAACUUACAAUAUCAACAUAUAAGCAACAUUUAUUUAACUACAUAUCAAUUAAGCUCAAAUGAAAGUUCAAACUAUUCAAUAUAUAAAAAUAUGAUACUAACUGCAUUUAUUUAGAAUAGAUUAGCAAGUAUAUAAUAGUAAAAAUAUAUUUAAUAGGAAUAAAAUAAAAACAUAACAUUGUUGAGCAUCACAUUGUAUAUUAAAAAUAACUCAAAAAUCACAUAAUACACUAAGUAGUCACAAAACACAACAAAAAAAUAAAAUUAAGCUUAAUGUUUAAUCCAAAUCCCCUCACAAUCAGUACGCAUACAAAUUUCACCAUAAUCUUCAACUUCAUCAAAAGACUUAAUAUUAGACAUCCCAUUCGCAAAUGGGUGAUACUCCAUACAAUUGUUGGCUAUGUUGUCAUCACCUUCUUUGUCGAACAACUCUAUUUUUGGCCUUGAUAAUACAAUAGACCAUCUUGGAUCAACUUGAUCUUCUACAUAAAAUACUUGUUGGGUUUGCGUUGCCAAAAUGAAAGGAUUUGAUUUAUGUCCUAUCUUGCAACUCAUGUAAACCCAAGCUCAUUAACUUUGACACCAUUCUUGCUAUCAAUCCAAUCACACUUAAAAACACAAAUGUUAAACAUGUUAUAAUCAAGAUCCCAUAUCUUUAUGACAAUCCCAUAAAAACACAUGUCACCAAGCACAGGAUUCUUAUCUUUGGCACUUGCAACUUUCAUGGUCGAUGCCACAAUACUGACGUCACUAUUUUGGUUGACUCGUGCCUCAUCACGGUCCUUGAUAUGGUAACGACAACCAUUAAUGAUAUAUCCAAGGUAAGUAAGUAAGAACUUGUUGUCUUAGUCCUUGAGCAAGCUACUUAAGUUCCUUUUCUAUUGUUUCUUUCUUACUUAUGUCAUUUGAAACCUAAAAGGUUCAUUAAUGAUAUGUAAGUCAAUGUAAUUUAAAUUUUGUAAGCAUUAAAUUUUAAGGGGAGCAUGAAUAUUGAGCUUCAUACAUUUUUUUCUAAGCCAAUAACUAAAUGUGCGCACAUGUUCAUCCUCUAGCCACUUCACUCUCUUUGAUUGACAAGGAUAUUUUGUCUUCAAAUAUUUCAUAUUUUCAUUAUCAAGUAAAAAUAGGCAAGUCAUGGUGUGUAUAAACAUUAGCUAGAGUUUCAAACUCAUAUAUUCACAUAUAUGACACUUACUCAAUAAAAGGUUGUACAAUGGUUGUAUUUUGUAGAACAUAAUGAUGUGCUUGCACCACCAAUUUAUAAUCAUGAAUAGUUAUUGCACGACCACCAAGUAAUGGUUUCCCACAUUUCCAUUCAUCUUUCAAAUGGGUACAUCCAUCUCAUAUACAUUGGUCCACAUAAUCUAACCUCUCUUACCAAAUGCACUGUUAAAUGAAACAUGAUGUCAAAGAUGGAAGGUGGAAAAUACUUCUCUAGCAAGCCCAAAGUCACCACUAUGCCCUGUUGUAGAUCAUUCAACCUUGACACGUCCAUCACCUUUGCAUAAAGUGCAUUAAAGAAAAAACGCAAUCUUGUAAUGGCAUAUCUAACAUGCUUAGGCAACACGGAUCUUAUUGCUACUGGUAGUAGUUGUUGCUUAAGUACAUGAUAAUCAUGGGACUUAAGACCACUAAGCUUUAGCUCUUCCAUGGACACAAGGUUUUUAAAGUUUGAACAAUAAUCUUCAGGAACCUUCAAAUAAGCUAAAGUUUGCAAUACUAUUUUCUUUUCCAUACAGGGGGAAGAUAAGUUCGCUUUAACCCAAACCUUGGUGCUAAGUCAGGCCUUAAGCCCAUUUCGAGAAUAUCAAGUCGAGACUUUACUCCAUCAUUUGUUUUACCUGAAAUGUUAAGCAAAGUUCCAAUGAUGCUCUCGCAAACAUUCUUCUUUAUAUGCAUGACAUCCAAGUUGUGUUGGAUAUAAAAAUAUCUUCAGUAUUCAAGUUCAAAAAAUAUAGACUUCUUUUUCCAACAACUUGUAGGAUUAGUAAAGGAUUCACAUUGUUUAACCUUUUUUUUUUAUUUCCUCAUGAGUUAUGAAUCAUAUCAACCUUCUAAAUAUUUCAUCUCCAGUAAGUUCUUUUGAAGGUAAUCUAAACUCUUGUUCACCAUUAAAUGCCUUCUUUUGCUUUCUAAAUGGAUGGUUGCAUGGAAUAAAUCUUUUAUGGCUGGUAUAUGAGUUCUUAUUCCCAUGUUUUAGCUAAUGUGAAUUUGUUUCUUCACCACAUAUUGGACAAGCAUAAUAUCACUUAAUGGUGCAACCAGACAAGUUCCCAUAUGUAGGGAAAUCAUUAAUCGUCCAUAACAAAAUAACAUUUAAUGUGAAGAAAUCUCGUUGAUGUGCAUCACAGGCUUUCACCCCUACCUCCCACAAUGUUUUCAAAUCAUUGACUAAUGGUGCUAAAUAAGCAUCAAUAUCAUUACUAGGUUGUCUUGGUCUUGAUAUUAGCAAAUAUAACAUCAUAAAUUUCCUUUUCAUGCAUAACCAAGGGGGAAGGUUAUAAGUUAUUGUGAGAACAGACCAAGAACUAUGCUUACUAGUCAUGGAGCUAUGAGGAUAGAUACCAUUUGCUAAAAUAUCAAGUCUAAGGUUCCUACAAUCUAAAGCAAAUUCAGGCCACAUUUGGUUCACUAGUUGCCAUGUUGGGGAAUCUAUUGCGUGUUGAAUUUUACCAUUAUUUUCUCUUCCUUGUGCAUGCCAUUUUAGGUUUUUCACUAUUUUGGGAGAUUGAAACAUCCUCUUAAACCUAGGGAUGGGUGGGAAAUACCAUAACACUUUUGUAAGAAUCCUCUUAAUAUUUCUUACCCUUGCCUUGUUUACCUCUCACCUUGAUAUUCCACAAGUAGGACAUGAAGAUGCAUCAUUUAACUCAUUCCUGUAUAGUAUGCAAUCAUUUGGGCAUGCAUGUAUCUUUUUGUAUUCCAUCCCUGAUGCAUUCAAUGUUUUCUUAGCCUCAUACAUGGAUAAGGGCAUCUCAUUGUUCACCGAGAGCAUAUCCUCUAAUAUUUGGAGUAAAUUUGAAAGCUUUUAUCUGACCACCCAUAUCAUGCCUUCACAUUGUACAAUUUAAUUAAUGCAGGAAGCUUUGUGAACUUUAUACUAGGACAUAAAGGUUUUUCAGAAUCUUCAAGCAACUUUUUAAAUGACAUCGAGUCUGUCAUGAACUCACCUUCUAUAGCAUGAACCAUUUCUACUGUACUAGUAACGUCACCACAAUCCAUCAUGUCAUAACAUUGUGCCAUUUCGGUCAGUUGUCUACUAGUAAGACAACCAUGCCAAUACCAUGUACGAUAACUCUGGUCAAUACCAUUGAAAAACAUAUGUUCUCGAAUCUUGUUAGGUGUAUGAUGUAUUAAGUUUCCACAUCGCAUACAAGGACAACAAAUUCCACUUUGAUUCAGACAAUGUUCUAAUGCAAAAUUAAUGAAGUAUUCAACUCAUUCCUCAUACUCCCUUGACAUUCUAUCUUUAGACAUUCAACUUCAAUCCAUUCUAUGAUUCAAAUACACAAUGAAUUAAUCAUGAGGAAUUUUAACAUUAGAAUCAACUUGUUAAGAGUAAGGGCUCUUGUUCCAUGCAUUAGACCUUCUUUUUUUUUGUCUACAAAAGCUAUUGUUUUAACUCUUUUGAAAUGUUAAUGUUGUAUCAUAGAUCAAAAGGAUUCAUCAUGUAAUAUAUCCAUGUUGUCUACAAGUAUAUCAAAGUGGGAUAGUUGAUUAUAAAAAUUGUCUUAUUCAAUUCAUGUCAUUGUAGUUAAUGCCACAAAUUAUUAAUUUAAAAUUCCUAUUAAUUCAUGAUAUUUCAUCUUAUUAAAUACAUUUAAUUUCAUUAGGUAUUAAACCAAAGUAAAAAAUGUGGUUCUCUUAUAGAAUUAUGAUCCUAUCUAGUUGAUGUGCUACCAUACAAAUGAGAAAUAAAUAUAUCUUAUAUUUGUUUAAGUCUUUAUUCACUCUCGAAUCGUCAAAGAUCACUUAUUAUGCAUAUUUCCGUAAAAUUAAAAUAAAAUUAUAUAUCAAAAUAUUAAACCAAGAAACAUAAUUAACUCUCAUGAUUCUAUCUUGUUAAACUAAAAUCAACUUAUACUACAUGUCUUAUGCAUUCUAACAUCUCCAACUUCCUAGUUUAGGUGGUGGUUCCUAUCUCAUAUAGGAAUACAUAAUCCCUACAUGUCAACUACUAUUAUGUUUCAUUUCAUUUUAGAAAAUUUUCAGCAACAUUUCCCCAUAGUUCUCCAAGUGCACAAAAUGGAGAAGACAUAUUAUUCAGCCUUGUCCAAAUAUGCACCCAGAGAACGAAAGAAACGAUUGUCAAAAUUUCUAAAAAAUAAACCAAGCAUAAGAGCGUAACUUCAAAGAUAUUAUGUUUUCCUUAUAUUGUCAAAUUGGACAAUUCAAGCAUCAUUUGUAGAAAAAAAAAUAGUAUCAUUCACAUGCUAGACGAAUUUAGAAGUUGUCAACUUUAAACUAGUUCAUCAAUGAACCAUUUUCAUUCUUUGACAACUUAAAUGUCCUUAGCAUGUAAUAAGAGAAAUUUUUGUCAUACAAGGAUGCUAGAAUGGGAAGUCUAAUGUUUCAUGCAUGAACUUAUUUAAAUCAUAUCUAAGUUUCCUAAACACAUUAAAAUGAAAUACAUUUAAAUCCUUUAACAUAUUUGUUAUUUGCCUAGUAGAAGAAAAAAUAAAUAUAUUUACUUGAAAACUCAUGAGUAGAGAAAUUUAAUUAGACUUGGCAACAAAAAAAUAGAAGUUAAUAUUCAAAAUAUAAAGUCAUCAACUUCACAGACAAACCUAUACAUUGAUGAUAAUGUAGGUCAUUUAAGUUUCUAAAAUAAGCAAUAUUCUUUACAAUACCAAUGAGCAAAUUAAAUAAUAAUAAUAUGUAAUAACAAUAAGCCUUUGUCCCUUAAAAAAAAUAGAGAUAGUAAUAUUUUAAAAAGAAAAUGUCAAAGAAUGUGGAGAUUCAUAAUGAAAUGAGUUUAGUCUUUUCAUAACAUAUCCCUAAUUAUAUAUCUUUUUUUUUUUUUUUUUGGAUUUAGUAGGUCACAAGAGUUGUUGAUUCUUAUGAGGUUUAAGGACACAAAGCAUAUAUUAGUGUUAUUGACAAGUUGAAUUUAGUUAUUAGUCAUCAAUUUGAUACAAGUUGUUUUAGUGUUGGAAACAAUAGAGAUCUCGUUUCUUUGAAUGGUCAACUCUACUUGAUUCACAUUAUAUAAUUGCUAAAAGUUUUGAAUACCACAAGUGAUUAUUUAACUGGAAAGAGAGUUUCCUUAGGCAAUAUCCCAACAAUUAUGAAGUGCAUUGCUCUUUUUAUGGCAUCCAAACAUGGUUUCUAGACUUGAAGACCAUAUGAUUUUGAUAUAUAUACCAUUAAAAAAAACAUGGUUUCUAGACUAAAAGACCAUAUGAUUAUGAUAUAUACCUUUAAAAAAUGUUGUAACUCAUUAAAUAACCUCACAUUCAAUGGAAUCAAAUUAAAUCCAAAGUAAACCCACCCACUAGACCAAAUCCACUAACCACCAAAUAACUCAAUUUCAAGUUUGAUUAUUUAUGUUCAUUUUCCUUUUAAAAAAAAUGAAGUACUGAGAAGUUAGAGUUUCAUUGCAAAAUAUAGAGAGAGAUACCAAAGAGAGAAAAGAAUUACCUUAACAAGACUUGUCCCUUGAAAUUGUCCUCUAGUGAUUGAGAAAUUAAAAAGCUAACCCAUGAUUAGGAGGACCUGCAUUUUUGGUACAAGAAGAUAAACUUUUAAACAACAAAUAAAACAUCAAAAGGAAAACAAUAGCUGGAAUAGGCAAAAGUUUUUCUUAAAUGCAAACAAACUUUUUACCUACGUACAAACAGAACAUCAAAUGGAAAUAGUAGUUGGAAUAAGUAAAAGCUUCUCUUAGAUCUUUGAGCAGAGAAUGAAGAGGGAGAUGGAAAAAUAAAUUCCUUAUGUACUUAGAUUGAAUAUCUUUAAAGCAAACAAACAGUGUGGAAAUGAGUCACUAAUGGAGGAAAGUGCAAUAGAUGAAGGAACUAGAGAUAUGCAUACUUAAAUUUUAAAACCUUGAAACCAGCACCUUAAUUGAUCUUUGAUAUUUGAGAAGGAACAUCACUAAUCUCCAUUAAAACUAUUAGUUUUUUUCCCCUUGUUUGCUUGUUUUUUUCUCAUCCAGGUUUCAUGUUUCUUGUUGUACUUUUAGGCUAAAAAAUAAGAUCAUCAUUACAUAUCAAUGCAGUUUGAGAAAGGUUUGUUUUAUUUCUACAAUGGGUUGGAAAUUUUGGACCAUUGUUACAUAGCAAUAAAAUAUUUUAUAAUGAAUUUUGCAAUAAAUAAAUUAGAAUUAUAAAUAUCCAUUUUAAUUUAUUUAUGAUAUUAAUUUUAUAAUAUGUCUCUUUCAAUAAUUUUAGAAUUUUUCAUAUUUUAUUUUUAUCUUUUUUAUAGAUACAAAUUUUUAUUAAUAAAUAAUUUUACCAUAAAAUUUAUCAUAUUUUUUUAAUAAAAUUUUUUAUCAUUGCUUUCAUAAUAAUUCUAAAUAAAAUACUAUUUUAAUUCAUUUAUAAGAAUUAAAUUGAAUCUAUUUAAAUAUUUUAUAUGGAUUUAUAUUAAAAUUAAAUCUCUUUUAAAUUAAAGUUAUUUAGUUUUUUAAUUUACUUUCUAUAAUUAUUAGGAUGUAGGCUACAAAAAUUUACUUUAUUCUUCAAGUUUAUUCUAUCAAAUUGAGACUCAAGCUUACUUAAGUCAUAUUUAUAAAGAGUCAAAGAUGGUAUGGAAACACCACCUUUGAAAUCAUAUGCUUUUAGUUAUUAGACAUUGGUUAUUAAUUGAUGCAAAUGUAUGUAAUAACAAUAACAUAAUUAACUGAAUAUAUAGUUUUAAUUAUAUAUAUCAAAAACGUUUAAAUACAUAGCAACAAGUUUUUAUGGAGUUUUUUUUUUCCCAUUUUUGAAUUUGUUUUUCUCCGCCAAUUGGGUGAUAAUGUUGAAUAUUUUGACUUGCUAUAAGUAGCUAACAAUUUAGGGAUAAUGAUUAGGGAUAUGACAUUUGCUCCACUUCUCCACUAACCUACAACCUAUAAGUAGUUCUCCAUUUCCCCAAGACUAACCUACAGCCUAUAAGCACUUGAUAGUUAGGGAUGAUGAUAACAUGGAUAAUGACAUGACUCCACUACCUCCAAGGCUCCUACUCUAAUUGACAUUGGCUUUACACUUGCAGGAUGAUAGGAUAACAUGUCCAAUUUAUUUUUCAAUGAACUCUUUGUCAUGCUUCUUGCAGUUUUGGAAUUGAUUAAACGUAUACUCAUUCAGUAUCUCACUACCAAGAGCACCAAUUGGAAUAAUGGGAUAUUUUUAAAAAAUUAAAAUUUUUUAAUAUAAAAUAUAUAUAAAUCUAGAUUACAUAACAUAGCAGAAAAGGACUUAUAAAGUUUUAAUAUAACUUUUUUUUUUUCAAAUUUCCUAUUCUUCCAUUUUCUCUUCCUUAAUUUUCUUAACACAUUCUCUCCUCUAAUUUUCUUAACACAUUCUCUCCUCUAAUUUUCUUAACACAAUCUUUCAUUUUAAAAUUUCAAGAUGAAAAUGAAAUUUUAAAUCUUAUUGUAUUAGUCUGUUUUUUUUUUAAAUAGGCAAUGAGGAAGAUCAUUGUACUUUGAAGAACUGAAAUAAUAUAUAUAUAUAUAUAUAUAUAUAUAUAUAUAUAUAUAUAUAUAUAUAUAUAUAAUGGUAUUACAACUUGACCAUUAAACACCCAAAAUUAAAUUUUAAAUAGGGAGGUGCAUUCAUCCAUCUCUUAUAAUUAUUAUAAUAAAUGUAAAGACAAACACAUUUUAUGCUUCGAGAAUCAUAAAACAAAAAGAAAGCUUAGAAAGAGAGAAAAUAAGAAAAAAUAAAAAUAAAGUAAUCUCAAAACCGACAUUUUGUACUUGAAAAGAACACCUUUUGUUCUAUGAGGUAAGACAAGUUAGUCAAUCAUACCGGUAUUUUCUAAUAGUACUACCAUUCAAACUAUAGUUUCAUUUUUAAAAACUAAAAAUUAUUUUUAGAAAUUAACACCAUUAUCAUACAAUUGUUUUCUCAUUAACAUUAUAGGGAGCUUCUUAAGUGCAAAUUUUUGUUUUUUUUUUUAUAAAAAAAAACACAAAAAUAUUAAAUAAAUUAAAAAUGAUAAAAUAGAAAUAAAGGAAAACACAAUACUUUAAAAUUAUGUUUAGCUCCAUCUAGUUUUCCUUUGAUAGUACGUUAAAUAGGAUUUAUAUUUGUUUUCCAAUGAAUUUUUAUUUAUAAUUUAAUAUGGCAUCCAAAUACAAUAACAUAUAAGAAACAUAAUGAAUUUCUACAUCUUAUUUAAUUUCUAUAUCAACAUUUCAAGCAUAAUCCUAAUGAAAACAUUUUUUACCAAGUGAUUAUGUAUAUGGUAACAUGUUUUUUUUCUUACAAUAUUGUAGACCCUUUAUUUUGUUCUCUUGACACAUUCCCUGUAGGAUUGUCCUCCUACAUCCUUUGAUGCUUUAGUGUGCAAUUAUGGUCAUUUUUUGAGUUGUUUUUAAGCUCUUAUUGAUGGUCCACUGAGAUUGUAUUGAUCACUACUUUUGGAUUUUCAAUGAGAUAUUUUGGAGAGAUUAAGUGGAUCCCAAUUUUGUUUGCAGUGACCCUUAAUUCUUAGUUUAGGACUUUGUUUUUAUUAUUAUUAUUAUUAUUGAUUUCUAGCAUAUUUGGGUUUGUUUAUAAUUCUAAAACCUAAAUUCUUACAAAUAAAUUCAUGUUUUAAAAUAAAUAAUAAUUGGUUUCAUUUUCUAUAAAAUAUGAAAUACAAUAAGGGUUUUGAUAAUGAAUUGGAAUGAAUUUUUUUUUAAAGAAUGAUUUAAUAAGAUUCAAGUUUCUUUUGUUAACUUUAUCUUAUAAAUGAUAGAAAUCGAGGUAUUAAUCAAGAUAUUAAAUGAUUAAAUUGAGAAAUAAUAUGUUAAGGUUAUUAAAUAUAUAUUAUAAGAUUUAUUUUAUGAUAAAAUAAUUUUCCUUUUUAACAUCAUAGGAAUCAUAAAUCAAAAUAAAGAUUUGAGUUUAUUAAUAUAUCAAAGCAAUUCUCCUUUUAAUACUUUAUGAACCAAAAACAAAAUUAAAAUUUGAGUUUAUUAUGGUUAUCUAAUUCAUGUCUUAAAAUAUAAAACAAAAAGAGUUGUUUUUUAUAAUAAACAUGCCAAAAUAAUAAUUAUUUUUAGAUAUCAUGAAUCAUGAAUAAAGUUUAUAUGAUAUUACAAUUCACACAUCAAAACAUGAAAUAAAUUAGUUUUCUAAAUCAAAAAUAAAUAUGCAACUUGUAUGCUUUUAUAAAAUAUUUAUACUUAGCUUUCAUAUAAUUUAAAACAUGCCAAACACACCUUAAACAAACCCAUGCAUCAAUGGUCCAUCAAUAGUCUCCAUAGGUCGUUAGCCUAGCUUCCCAUUUCUCUCACCCAUCAAUUGUUCUUUCUUGCUACAACUCAUAUUUUGGAUGGCCCAAAACGUACCUUAACCCAUGAGCCAUACCUAAGGGUCUCCAACGGGCGGGCCGGGCCGGGCCGGGCCGGGCCGAGCUAAAAUGCUAGGCCCGCGGCCCGACCUAUGAGCCCGCGGGCUAGCGGGCUGGCGGGCUGGGGGGCGGGCUGGGCCGCGGACUUUUUUAAAUAAGCCAAAAUGGCUUUUAAAUAAAGGAAGGAAGAGGGGGGGAUUCGAACCCCUCCCCUCAAGCUUAAAUUUCAAGGCUCUAACCAAUUGAGCUACAUUUAUUUUGUGCUUAUUAAAUGAGUUAGUUAUAUAUAUAUGAAAAUAUAGUAUAUUAUUUUUUUUUCAAAAUUAAAGGCGGGCCUACGGGCCGAGUCGGGCCUAAGGGCGGGCCUAAAUUUAGGCCCGCGGCCCGGCCCGCCCAUAAACGGGCUCGGUCCGGGCUUGGGCCCAGCGGGCUUGGGCCCAGCGGGCUUGGGCCGGGCUUUAGCCCAUCGGGCCGGGCCGGGCCUAAAGCGGGCCGCGGGCCGCGGGCUUUUUGGAGACCCCUAGCCAUACCACUCCCUCUUAAAAGCCUAUGUUCUUUUUAGUUGCUCAAGACAAGUACAACACCAGUCAGGCCAUGUCAUACCCCUGCAAAAACCUAUUCUUUAGGCUAUAAAAAAAACCUAUCCCUACCACCUUCAUCAUCCAUCUUUCUUCUGCCACAACCCAUGCUUUGGGCUGCCCAAAACCCAUUUCCGUCAUAAUGAAUAGCCACUCUUUCCGUGUUUGCCAUCCACUCAUUCUCUCUCCUUAUCCUUCCACACAUACACAUUUUGAGACUAGUAAAAAACAAGACUUUCUCUCUUCUUCCUCAUUUUCACUCCUAUUUUCUCAACCAUCACUAGUAAUCUUUCCACAUUGAGCUUCAUAUCACCAUCAAAGCUUUGUCUUCUUCCUUAUCUACCUGCAAAUGCAUAAAGCCUGCUGCCCUUUUGCUUUUAUAUCAUCCAUAUCUAUUUUUCUUCUCCCAAAACUGAAUACCAUAUCUUCACUCAAGCUUCGGUUUCUUUUCCAAAUCAAACACCACAACCCUCAGCUCCACUAAAACCCCAUUUUCAUCGUUCUCCAAUAUGCGCAUCACAACAGCAAAACACAACAUCACACAACACCACUUAGCCUCACUGUGAUUCCAUCUUCUUCUUUCCUUCAAACGGAACACCACAAUAAUUUCAAUAUGCAGCAAAUGAUCAGUGAAGAGGUGGUCGGGAUGGCCCAACUCGAACGUUUUUUGGCUCAUCAUGUCGAACUUAGUUGUCAACUCCAUCGGAAGUCACCACGGGGAUUUCGACAUACAACUAGAGCAAGAUAACCUAAAGGUGGCUGUCAUGAAGAAGAAUGUAAUGCUUUUCGAUAAAGAUGUUUAGAUGACACCACCAAUGAUUACUCCACAUGCCUCUUCAAGCUUGGAGUCUAGAUAUAUAUAUAUAUAAAAAUAUAAAAAAAAACAGUUUGUUCUCUUCCUUUGUUUCUUGGUAACAAAAAUUAAAAGGGGUAAAUAUUUUUCUAUGAAAAAAGUUCAAAGUGUCAUGCCAAUCUUAAGUAACCAGGCUUUUGGUACAUCAAGUGAAUAGCCAUGCCUAUCUAGGAAUAAUAUUCUAAAGACACUCAUUUUGAAUGUUUCCAGGUAUUCCUUCAAAAUCCUAUCCACAAUCUUUUGACAAUGGGCUAAUAUCUCACUUCUAGAUCUAUCCAUCGGUUUCUUGUCAAUGAUAGGUUGACAUACUCUAGUAUGAGGUAAAUGUUGAUAUCUUUCUUCUAUAUCAUGUUCCAGUUGUCUCUACAAGUUUGACCAUCAUUGUGUGCUUAAAAAAAUUGAUCUCAACCUAUUUGAAACAUAAGGUUGAUUUGAACUAGAUCUCUUCCCAACAGGGUGAAUGACUUUGAAAGUGAAGUUUGAGUGGGGUUUUCUUCAACUCGUUUUUUAUUUGAUGUUAAUAAAUCUACCAAGUGAAGCAAAUCAGUUUUUAUGAGAGAUCCAAGAAUCAGAGGCCCUUCCUUGCACAUAUUUUGUGCGAUUUGUUUCCUAGUCCUUGACUGGGAGACAAGUAUUGAUCCUUUUGUUAUGGCCAUAAAUGAUUCGAUGUCAUUCCAAAAAGAAUCCUCUAAGAAACAAUCAUGCUUUUUAAAAUGACUGUUAAUAUGGUUUUUCUCUCUCCCAUUGUAAGUUUUUUUCCCCUAUUUUUCUAUAGGACAAUUUCAACUAUCCAAACAAUGGUAAAACAAUAUACCCAAAAAUGCCAUCUAAAAUCAUCAAAAAGUAUACACCCACAACAAAAUCACUAUGUAGUUUAUUCUUAAUUCUUCUUUUUUCGUUGAUUGUUUGUUUCUCUCCAAUUCUUUCCUAAUUUUAUUUUGGUUUAUCUCCUACUCUUUUUGAGAUUUUAUAGUUUUAUCUUAUCUAAAAAUCAUCAAGGAGUGGAACUUUGAGCUACAAGAGCACAAAAAAUAUUUAGAGGCUUGAGGUGAUUUUUUUUAUAUGUAUUCACAUUUUCUUUAAAGGGAACGAAUUUAUAAUAACAAAGUUCAUAGCCGAAAAAAAGCAAAAAAUAUAAAAUAUGGGGUAGAAGGAUAAUGUAAUUCAUGUGUUUAUACUUGUUUGACCUUUUUAGAUUUGUGAUGUGGUCAAUUUAUUUUCAUUGAUAAUUUUUUUUUAAUCACAUCUUAAAUGAAAUGAGAUUGUUAUAUUUUCAAGUCUUUGUCUAAAUUUAUUAAUAUGAUUGGAUGAACCAUGGAGUAAUAUUUUUGCCUUAUUGGAAUGGUUUAGUUUUUAAUUAUUAUUUAUCACUUCCAUUCUUUGGUUGUUGUUGCAGUUACUCUUGACUUCAUGAACUAUAAAUCAAAUUGAAGUUAUGAAAGUAGUUGAGAGACAAGUCCAAUUAAAAGUGGCAAUUGGAGUUAAUUGAUACAUAUCAACAAGCAUUAACUAAACAAGUCUAUUUUCUAGUGGUCAAAUUAUUGUUAAAAAAAAAAGUUGAUGCUUGAUAUUAAGUGAAUUUUUAUUGGUUUUUAUUAUGUAUUUCAUAGAGGAAUCGUUUGUUGUAUGAGAAAUAGUAUAUUUUCAAUCAUUUCAAACAUUGUUUUUCUUGACUAUAUAUGUUUUUUUGGCACAUACACCACUCUCUGAGUUUUGACCCAAAAUACUACAUUAAAAAAAAUUCCAUAAAAUAAACUUGUUUUCAAAAUAAUGCCCAAUAUAGUAUGUCUGUACCACAUAAGUUGUUAUGUUGUAAAACCGUAGUUGGUGACUAUCGUUUUAUUUUUCUAAAACAAUUAAAAAUCGUAAUCACCAACCAUGGCUUUAACUGUAAAUUUAAAGUCGUAGUUGGUAACUACAAUUUUGAAUUCUUUUAAAAAUGGUCAAAGUCGUAGUCACAAUUAGGGCUUUAACUUUAAUUAUAUAUAUAUAUAUAUAUUUAACUUUAAUUUUUUAAACAAAAAUAUUAUAUUAUUUUGAUUUUAAAUAAAAUUAUCUCAUUAUUUAAAAAAUAAUAAUAUAUGAAAUUAAAUAAUUGAUAUUUUUAAUUUGAUAUAAAAAUAUAUUUUUAAAUUUUAUUAAAACAAUAGGUACUAUAUUUAAUAUAAAUAUAAAUAAAAUAUAAUAAAUUAUAUUUAUUUAAAACAAAUAAAUCAUGAAAGCCUAUUUAAAUAAUAAUAAUAUAAAUUAUUAUAUUAAUUAAUAAUUUUUUAUAUACUAUAUCUAAGUGGUAUAUAAUAUCAUAGCUAUAUAAGUUCAAAUUAAAUUUAAAAUUUAUCAUAUUUUAAUUUCAGUUCAUAAUAUCACAUUGUGUCCAUAGGAUAAUAAUUUAUGAAAAUAUUAUCAUAUUUUCAUUUAAGUUUAUAAUAUCAUAUCGCAUCGAUAUGAUAAUAAUUAUUUAUAUAUUUAAAUGAAAAUAUGAUAAAUUUUGAACUUUAGUCAAACUUUUAUAUAUAUAUAUAUAUGUGUGUGUGUGUGUGUGUGUGUGUGUGUGUGUGUGUGAUAUAUUAUAUACCACUUACAUAUAAUAUAUAUAUAAAAUUAUUAAUUAAUAUAAUAAUUUUUAUUAUUUGUUGUGUGUGUGUGUGUGAUAUUAUAUACCACUUACAUAUAAUAUAUAUAUAUAAAAUUAUUAAUUAAUAUAAUAAUUUUUAUUAUUUGUUUUUUUUUCUAAAUAGGCUUUCAUAAUUUUUUUUAAAAUAAAUAUAAUUUAUUAUAUUUUAUUUAUAUUAAUUUUAAUUAAUUAAUUAUAUUUAUAUUAAAUAUAGUUUCGAUUGUUUUAAUAAAAUUAAAAAAUAUAUAUAUUUUUAUAUCAAAUUAAAACUAUCAAUUAUUUAAUUUCAUAUAUUAUUAUUUUUUAAAUAAUGAGAUAAGUUUAUUUAAAAUCAAAUAAUAUAAUAUUUUUAUUUAAAAAAAUUAAAGUUAAAUAUUUUAAAUGAAACAACAUAAUUUUUUAUAUAUAAAAAAAUUAAAGUUAAAGUCAUAGUUGGUGACUAUGGUUUUGACUAUUUUUAAAAGAAUUCAAAACCGUAAUUACUAAUUGUGGUUUUAAACUUAAGUUAAAACUGUGGUUAGUGACUACGGUUUUUAACUAUUUUAGGAAAAUAAAACCAUAGUCACCAACUACAGUUUUAUGACAUGGCAGCUUAUGUGAUACAGACGCAUUAGAUUAAGCAUUAUUUUGGAAAUAAGUUUAUUUUACGAUUUUUUUUUCAAUGUACUAUUUUGGGUCAAAACUCCCACUCUAUAGAUGUUAUCUAUAGUAAUAUUUGUUUCAUUUUAAUAUAAUCUUGUUUAUAUUUUACAAAUUCAUAACAAAUGAUCAUCAAUACAACAAAAAAUGACAAAAGAGCUUUGUGGAUUGCUAAGCUCUUGCAUCUUGUAUUCUAACAUAACAUCUUGGAUACAUAUUGAGAAACCAAAUAGUUAAUUUAAACAAAUUUCCAUUUUGGGUUUUUUCUCAUUGGUGGACUCCUACAUCAUAUGAUAUCAAAUUUUGGUUAAUAUAGAAGUGUGGAAUUAAAUAACCUUGGACGCUCCACCUAAUGAGCCACAUUUUCAGUUUUAUGAAAUCCCAUNNNNNNNNNNNNNNNNNNNNNNNNNNNNNNNNNNNNNNNNNNNNNNNNNNNNNNNNNNNNNNNNNNNNNNNNNNNNNNNNNNNNNNNNNNNNNNNNNNNNAUUCAUGUUCUUCAACCUUGAGUAAGCAUUCCUUGCACAACUCGAGCUCAAGAUCAAAGAAAUUCUCAUUCAUAUUUAAGGUUAGAUUAUUGACAACCUGAUGCUAGUGGUUUCUAGCAUAUUAUGAGAUCAAAGCAUCCUUAGGACUUAGAUAAGAGAGAAUUAAAAUUACAUAUUUUAUUUCCAAUUUUUUAUGCAUAAAUAUAAAACAAUUUCAUUAUCUUAAGAGUUUAAUUAAUGAAAUUUGAUAUACAAUUUUUAUGUCUUCUCUUGUUGUCCUAAUGGAUUAUAUAAUGGUACUUGUAAACAAUACCAUAGUUUCCUAAAAUAAUUAAGGACCACAUUUUUUUUAAGUUCCAAUUUUUCCUAAAAAUAGUAUAAUGAAUUUUUUUCAUAAUUAUUAUGGUUGCAACAAUAAACAAAAUAAAAGGAAGUCAUGUUACAUCAUUUAAUAAAUGUCAUAAAAAAAUGAAAAAAAAAACAAAAAUUUAAUCCCUAUAAAGUAUAUAUAUUUGCAUGGAGAAUAAAUAUCUAAUUCAAUAAAUUUUCACAAAAAUAUUUCUACUUUUCACAAAAUUUUUAAUUGUGGCAUAUUGUCUUAGGAUUUUCUUUCAAGUUGUUUGUAGAUGGGAAUGGAUCUAGAUAGAAUUGAAAGAAAAAAAAAAUGAGAAGUAAAAUUUUUAGUAUUUACUAAUAUAACCUUGAUAGAUUUAUAAAUGAAAUCACAUUGACUUAUAAAUUAUUUGUCAAGAUAGCUUUUACCAACCUUGACAUAAGAAUAUUUUAACUAGAUAUAUUGACUUAUAAUUUUUCUAUCAAGGUUGUAUUACUAUAAAUUAAAGAAACUUUUAGCAAAUUCCAUAUAUGUCAUGAUUGCCUUUAUUUAGAUAACUUGACAUAUGAAUAUAUUAAUUUUAUAUUGACUUAUAAAUUCUCUGUCAAGGUUGCAUCGUCGUAAGUCAUGGAAUAAUCAUUGGAAUUCACAUGUCAUUAUUUCUUUUAACAAAGUUUUAUAUUUCAUAGUUGCCCAUUUAAAUAAAAAAAUAUUGACAUAUACUACUUUAAGUAAAGAUAAUAUAUGUCAACAAUGACCUUUUUUCUUGUAGCGUAUAUGACUCAUAGCUUCAAACUAUAAAAUAAUUUUAUAAUUGAAAGUUAUGAUGGUAUAUGAAUUUUCUAUUUUAAAAUUAAAUUAUUGAAAUUCUUAAUUUGCUAUUAUUCAAAUUUGAUUUGAUUGUAUCCUCGUUAUUAUUUUUAUUAGCUAUAAAUGUUGAAAUCUCUAAAAUUGUACAUUCCAUUUUAUAAAAAAAUAAAUAAAUUAUAUUUUCAAUACAUGCAUAUGCCAUAUUUAUCACUUAUGUACAUGAAAUAUCAAGUGUUUGAUAAAUUUAUUCUAGUAUAUAUGUCUCACCAAUUAUAGAACAUAUAUAAUAGUUAAUGUCAAUGUUAAUAUAUAUCAAGUAAACUUCAUUAUAGGCUCUAGAAGAGCGAAAAUUUUGUCAUCAAUGACAUACAAUUCCACGUGAAUGAUAUCUUCUAUCUAUCAAAUCCAAUGACCAACAUGUAACCCUAGGUAAAUAAUAACAUAUCAACUCAUCACAAGUCAUAUAGACAUAUUAUAAAAUCAAAAGUUUUUACCUAAUGACUAAUUUAUCUAUACCCCUGAAGAAUAGUAUGACAUUUUGUGUAAAUUAUUAUUUUAAUGAGACAAAUUUUCCUUCUGUUAGGAGGUGGAAGUUGAUUUUAGAAGAACAAUGUAAAAUUUCAAAUUUUAAAUGACCUUUGACAUCAUAAAGAAUGGUAAAGAUUUCAAAUCUUGAAUUCUAUAAGGAUGUUGAUAUAGAAAUAGCUAGCCAAAACAAAAAGAUCAAAUAUACACAAAGUUAGGCUAGAAAUUGUUAUACACACAAAAAUGAGGAGUAUUUAGACCUAUAGUUCAAACACUAGAAAAUUUUGAUUUUGUUGAAUAUAAAUAGACCUGAAGUUUAAUGCUUGAAGAUGUAAAAAUUGUUAGACACCAAUGGAUUAUUAUACAAAAGUGUAAUUGGGAUAAAAUAAAGAUUAUAGCAUAAGGUUUCCUAUAAAGACUUUGUAUUGAUUCUCGUAAUGAUUCAAUCGUAUGAUUUAAGGUCGUUGAAGGACUUGAGAUAUACUUUAUAAUAUAUAUGAUUCAUAAAUAUGUUAAAAUCUCAUAAGGAUUCAAAAUGCAUAAAGAAACCAAGUCCUUGAAUGAUUAACAUGCUUGAAACAAAUAAUUCUCUAAAAGAUUAAUAACAGAAGUAAUAAUUGAAAAUCUUAUAACAUAUUCUAGAUAAUGUCAUAUAAUAUACUUGAUUAAAUUACACCAUUGUAUGGAUUAAAAUGAAGAUUUAUAAUUAUUAAAAUCUUAUUGGAACUUUUGAAGAGUUUGUAAGAGUGGUCAAUUAUAAAGUUAAAGAUCUUGGAAUACGAAAAUUUUAUUUUGGCUUGCAAAUCAAGUAUUUUCCAAAUAAAAUAUUAGUCCAUCGAUCAGUUAGCAUACACAAAAAGUCUUAAAGCACUUUCAUAUGAACAAAUUACAUUCACUUAACUCCCCUAUGAUUGUUUGUUCAGUUAAGAACAAAUAUAUGUUUUAUCCUAAAGAAGAAAAUGAAGCAAUAGGUUCAAAAAAAUCAUAUCUUAAUGCAAACUGGUGCAUUGAAGUAUCUUGCAAAUUGGUGCACUAAAGUAUCUAACAAAUUGUAACUACACACAAUAGCAUUUUAUAUCGAUUUGCUACCAAGAUAAAGUUAUGCCACUCAAAGAAUUUGGGAUAGGAUUAAACAUGUAUUACGAUAUCUUUGUGGAACAACUUAUAUGAGUUUAUUUAAUUUGACAAGUGCAAAUUUAAAUUGUUUAGAUAUAUGGAUGUUGACUAUCUUUCAAACCCUUAUAAAACUUGAUCUCAAAUGAUAUAUAUAUAUAUAUAUAUAUAUAUAUAUAUAUAUAUAUAUAUAUAUAUAUAUAUAUUUACUUAUGCUAGUGCAAAAAUACCAUGUAAAUCAAUCAAGCAAAUAGUGGUAGUCAUUAUUUCAAAUCAUUUAGAGAUACUUUGAAUUCAUGAAGCAAGUCAUGAAUGUGUAUGACUAAAGUUAAUGAUCCAACAUACACAUGAAUCAUGUGGACUAUCCUUUAUCAAAUAUAAUGUUACCAAGUUAUAUAAAGAUAAUGUUGCUUGUAUUUUACAAAUUAAAGGAGGCUUUGUAAAAGGUAAUAAAACUAAGUAGAUCUCCACCAAAUUCUUUUAUACUCACAAACUCCAAGAGAAUGGUGACAUUAAUGUUUAGAAGAUCCAAUUAUGCAAUAAUCUAGUAGAUUUGUUGAUUAAAGUGUUAUCAUCAAUUACAUUAAAAUGUUAAGAUACAACAUUAGAAUGCAAAAAUUGAGAGAUUUGUUGGUUGAAACAUUGAAAAAAACAUAAUCAUGUCUAUAUGAGGGGAAGAAUACUAAUAUGGAUACACUGUACUUUUUUUUUUCCUUUAUCCAAUUUUUGUUCCAUUAAAUUUUACUAGCAAGGUUCUCAACUAGGUCGUUCUAAUUGUCAAAUCAUUUAAAGAAUUUUGUACUCUUUUCUUCUUCUUUUUUUCACUGUAGUUUUUCCAAGUAAGAUUUUAUCAAAAAAUAUUUUUAUGAUCAUCCAAUGGGAAGUGUUAUAAAAUAUAAGAAUUUGUUGUAUUGUGAGAACAUGUGGAUGACAUACAUAUUGAUGUAAAUAUUUUCUUAACUCUCUAUGAAAGGGAAAACCUAUCAAUGAAAAGAUAUUCUAUUUUUCUCUAAAAAUGCCAAUUUAUUCUUCUUUUAAUUUUCCCUUCGAAUUCUUUUAUUUUACUACAACUUGAAGUUAAUAAAUUAUUUUUAAAUACUUCUGUAAACUUGUAUCACUUAUUUAUUUUCUUUGCUAUUUAAAAAUUGAAAAUUUUCUUUCCUAUUUUCAUAGUAAAUCAAAUAUAAAAGAAAUUAUUUUCUGUAAUAUCACUUCUCCUUUCUUUAAUCCUUGCCUGGAAACAUAGUGUAAAUGAAUUUCUCAUUUUCUUUCGCUCUUUCUUUUAAUCAAGAAUUGAAAAGGCUAAGGUUCUAUAAAAGGGGAAAAAAGUUCCUAAUGUUAUAUAUAUAUAUAUGAGUUCUUUUUAGUCUUGUAGACGUAUUUUAAAGUCAUGAUGAGCCCUUUGGGCUUAGAGCGGACAAUAUUUGCAUGAGUGGAUGUGAAUAAUUACAAAUAGUAUUAGAGCCGAUUUCCAAUCCCGAUGUGGGGGUUUGUUUGGACCCUUAAUCCCAUGGGAUACAACGAGAAUGUUGUGUCUGCAUGAGAGAGUGAUUGUAAUGUUCCACAUCGGAUGAGGGAAAAAAGUUUUAAAUGCUAUAUAUUUACGAGUUUUUCUUAACCUUGUAAACACAUUUUAAAGUUAUGAGGACCUCUUUGGGCGCAAAACAAACAAUAUCUAUAUAGUUGGGUGCAAAGUAUCAAAGCCGACCCCCAACACCAGUACGGGGGUUUGUUUAGCCCCUUGAAGGGUGUUUGUUUGUUUAAUCCUACAAUCCAUGAGACACAAUGAGAAGGUUCUCUGCAUUAGGGAAUAAUUGUAAUGUCCUACGUUAGAUAGGGAAAAAAAAAUUCUUAACAUUAUAUAUGUAUGAGAUUCUCUUAACCCUGUAGAAAUGUUUUAAAGUCAUGAGGACUUCUUUGUGCUUAGAGCAAACAAUAUCUACAUGGUUGGGUGGGGAUCAUUACAUGUAUAUUGUAAGAAUAUCAUAUUUGAGAAAUAUACAUUUUAUACAUUUUACUUUAUGAAAGAUCAUAUCUUAUAAGAAUAUCAUAUUUAAGAAAUAUGCAUUUUAUAAAUUUUAAUUUAUGAAAGACUAUACCUCUAAUUAAAUGAAAAUCACUUAGGUUAUGAUGGUGCUCUGACUCUUGAGCUAGGUUUGUUGUUGAUUUGAUCUAAUAAUGCUAACUCGUGACUAGAAGCUUCAUGUGUUGCCCUUGGGUGCAUGCACCAAGGUCCUUGAUUAUGCUCCUCCAACAUUCAAGUUAGAAUUAUACUUAAUAAAAGCUUAUAAGAAAGGAUUGACCUUAAGUUAAGGCGAGGCAUGAAGAAUGAGAGGUUACUAAAGUUUGGAGUUUAGUGUGCAGGAAUAGACUUGACUUGCCUUCAAGGUCUAAAGUUGCUUAUAUAAUAUUCACUUAUAAAUUUGAAGAUUUUAAAUUAAUUAGAGUCUGUUUGGUCGUGUAAUUUAAAAAUAGUUGAAAAACAAAGUGAAAUAGAGAAUAACGUUUAGAGAAUAAGUAGAAGUUUUCACUAGUUUUUAAAAACAUAGAAAUUUUUUAAAAAAUAAAUAAAAUUGAACAUGAUAUCAUUCCCUUUCUCUCCAUGAUUUAAUAUUGAUAUUGUAAAUCUUAAAAUAUGAUAUUCCUUUAAAUUAUACGUACUUUUAAUGAAUUUCUUUUAACUUUUCUACAAUUUUUCAUUAAGAAAAUAAAUUUUACAUCAAAUUAUACUUAAUAAAUAAAAUUUAUUAAUUUUCAAAAAUAAUUUGAAAACUCAAAAAUCGAUUUAAUUAAUUCUAAAAAGAUGUAGAACUCAAUAACAUUAGGUUAUAAACCAAAAUUUAUUUUAAAUGUCUAAGUUAGUUUCUUCUUUACAUAUAUAUAUAUAUAAAUAAAAUGUUAUUAAAAUUAUUAUUAUUUAUUUUUAAUCAAAAAAUUUUAUAAAUAUGUCAAUGUCCUUAUGUUUAUAAUAUAUAUUAAAAUAGCAUUUUUUUUAUAAAAAUAUAAUUUAUAAUUUUAUUAUAAUAUUAUUAUUCAUAUUUUGCUAAAAUUUAUUUUUAAUUAUAAAACUAUUUUUAUUUUUAAUAAGGCCUGAAUUAAAUUAAAUUUAUAUCAUAUAAAUAGAAUUUGUAAUGUUUUUAUAAAACAAAAAAAAUUAAAAAUAACUUAUCCAAACAAUUUUUUUCCUUUUUACUUUUAAAAACAAAAUUUAAAACACUCUUAUUUUUAUAAAACAAUAUAAAACUCUUUUUUUGUUAUUUAACUUAAAAUAAAUUUUAAAAACAUGUUUUAGAAAAUAUUACCAAAUGGGUCCUUAUUUUUAUGUAAAUCUCAUCAUUUCAAAUAUAUGAUGCUAUUUAAAUCCUUUUAUUCUUUUGAACAAGAGAAAAAGAGAAAUAUUUUAUUUUAUUUUUUAUGAACUUAAUUUGAUUUCCAUACAUUUGCAGUACUCGGUGAGAAUGAAAAUUCACAGAAAUAGGUAGAAUUUAUUGUUCUUUUUUCAAGUUAAAUAUUGUUAACCCGGUAUUAAAUAUAAAGACAGAUGACUCAGGACUACCUCAUGGUGAUAAAACUGACAGAACCAACAAAAACAUGCUGAUUGCGUGAGUACUGAGUGAGAGCCCGUUCUUUACUUUCCUCCCAAGUUCCCAACGACACCAAAUUCCUCAUCGUACUGGGUUAAUCGAACAUUCUGGAACUUCACAGAAACUUCCUAAAAGUCCAUGCUUACCCAGCAAGCAGUCGAUGCUUACCCAGCAAGUAAACGAGGGCAAGCUCGUCCUUUCAGCCUCUCUCCCGCAUACGUACCGGUUUUCACUCUCCUUUAUAUACUCCAUCCUCUAACAAGGAACGCACUACAGUCUAGACGUUAUUGAUUCUUCGUUUGCUGCAAUGGAGGGUCGUGGAGGAAGAGGAAGAGGAAGAGGAGGUGGUGGUGUAGGAGGAGGCUACGGGUGGAGAGGGAGAGGGAGAGGGAGAGGGAGAGGGCGGGGACAGCCCACUCAGCCGUGGAGGCCCUCCAAUCCUGUCCAGCAACCGUCAUCAAAUCUGGUGGGACAACCGGUUCAACGGUGCAUUCCCAACCCGGUCCAACAACCACAACAUCCACCAAUCGCGCCGGCAACAGAUGCUACGGUGGAGUUGCCAACUUCUUCUCAUCAUGUGAAAGGUUCGGAAUUCAAUUCUUCUUAUUGACUCUGAUUUUUGACGUUACCGUCUUUGUGAAUAGAAUUGGUGGGAAUUAAUAGAGAGUUUUAGGUUUACGAGUCUUGACACCGAUGGAUAAUGUCUAAGAUUUGAAAUUACCGAUUAUUAAUUAAGCUUUUUUUAAUUUAUUUAUUUAUUUUUUGACAUCAAGGAAUUGUUGGAUGUGUUUGAUGUGUCUUUGAGUUGAUCAUAGCUACAAUAUUAGUUAUGGUGGUUUGAUUGAUUGAAGGUUUUAAUUUUUAAGAUUCAAAAGUUGCCUCGUAUCAGAUCCAUUUAGAUGGAUGUGAUUAAGGGAUUUAAUCUAUAAUUUAAAAUUUGUUGUCAGGUAACCAUUAUGAGAUCAAAAUUUUGAUAGUGUGUGUUUUUCUUAAUCAAAUGGUUUUUUUAUUGUAAACAAGAUAUCCUCGUGUGAAUUUACAUGAGUUUUCUAUGGCAGAAGCUGGGGACAAGCGUAUUCCUAUGAGAAGGCCGGACAAAGGUGGCACCAAUGCUGUCAGAUCUGUUCCACUUCGUGUGAAUCAUUUUCCUGUCAAGUUCAAGUCUGAUGGGCUCAAUAUGCAUUAUGAUGUUGAUAUUAAACCAGAGGCUCCGCCCAAGAAGGGUCGUGCAGUAAAGAUAUCAAAGUCCACUUCGUAUAUGAUAAGGGAAAAGCUCUGUGUUGAUCACCCCUCACAGUUUCCUGCAUCAGAGAUUGCUUAUGAUGGUGAGAAGAACAUUUUUAGUGCUGUUGAGCUUCCCACUGGGAAAUUUAAGGUGGAGAUCUCUGGAGGAGAAGAGAUGAAGGUUUGUUCGUUCAUUGUCACUAUAAAUCUGGUGAAGCAACUUGAGCUUCAAAAGUUGAGUGAUUACUUAAGCGGGGUACUCUCCUUUGUUCCCCGUGAUAUAUUACAAGGUAUGGAUGUGGUAAUGAAGGAGAAUCCUGCUAGACAUAUGAUAUCUUCUGGUCGGAGCUUUUACCAAUUUAAAGACUCAGGAAAAGACGAGCUUGGAUACGGUAUUAUAGCUUCUAGAGGAUUUCAACAUAGUCUCAAACCCACUGCCCAGGGUCUAUCCUUGUGCUUGGACUACUCGGUUGUGCCAUUUUUUAAUCCAAUUUCGGUUUUAGAGUUCCUAAAGGAGCAUGUUUGUGACUUCUCUUUACGAGAGUUUAAGAGAUACAGGAGUGAGGUUGAGGCUGCCUUAAAGGGAUAUAAAGUUAGAGUGACUCACCGUAAUACGGGUCAAAAAUUCAUUGUUGCAGGUUUAACUAGUGAAGACACGCGAAACCUGUCAUUUCUUCCUGAAGAUCCAGAAGGCAAUGUUUUGCCAAAGAAAGUAAUGCUUGUUGAUUAUUUCUAUGAAAAGUAUGGCAAGGAUAUCGAGAACCAGGAUAUUCCCUGCUUAGAUGUGGGAAAAAACAAUAGGAAGAAUUAUGUACCAAUGGAGUUCUGCAUCUUGGUUGAGGGGCAGAGGUAUACAAAAGAGAUUUUGGAUAAAGAGGCUGCUAAGAGGCUGAAACAUGUGCAACUUCCUACACCAGUUGUCAGAGAAAGCAAAAUAUGUGAAAUGAUGCAGGCAAACGAUGGACCAUGCGGGUACAUAACUGUGAACCUUCAGCUUUUUCAUUCUAAUGAAUAGAUGUGGAUUUCCAUAGUUUCUUUUUAAAAUUUCCUAAUUUCUACUCGAGAGAUAAUAAGUUGAGGUGAACGGCUGCACCAUUUUGUGUGAAGGUAGUUGCUCUUGCUUAUGCAAUUCCUUGGUUCAUUAUCAAUGAAAAAAUGUUUUUUAUUAUUUUUUUCAUUCAUAAAGCAUCUCAAUUUUGUAUUUGGUUUUGAUGUGGUGAAACCAACACAAGAUUUCAUGCCAAACAUUAGUGAUUUGAAUUAGUGCAUGAGUUACUUUCCCUUUUUUAAAGUCCUGAUUCAUGAAUACAUUUUGGCUCAUGGCAGCUGGGGGGUUUCAAGAACAUGUGUUUGGCACUGAAAUUUUUAGUCCAUAACGAUUAUCGUUAUUAUUCACCCCUUACAUAGGUUCUCAUUACCAUUUAAUAUGAGAUGAAGUUAACACUUGUAGUGCCCAAAAGUUAUAAUAACUUUACAUUCAUCACUAGAAAAGAGUUGGAUGUGCUGAUGGAUUGAAUUAAAUUAUGUGCAUUGUGUUAUUUUUAUGCUACUAAUUUCAGUUACUCUUGUUGGCAGGGGAGGUAUCAUUGACAGUUUUGGCAUUGGUGUAAGCAAGAACAUGACAGAAGUUGCAGGACGAGUCAUUGAGCCGCCAGAGUUGAAGCUAGGAGGCAAGCUGAACAAGAUAACUGUGGAAAGGGACAGAUGCCAGUGGAAUUUGGUUGGAAAAAUGGUCGUGAAAGGCAUACCAGUUGACCAUUGGGCUGUGGUGGACUUCAGUGGGCAGGAGCAGUACAACAGGCAGAAUACCAAUCAGUUUAUUUCAAGAUUUAUUAGGCGGUGUGAAAAGUUGGGAAUCCAAACGAAGAAUCCUCUUUUCUGUGAAACUGCCAGCAUGCAUGCCUUCAGAGUUUUCCCUGUGCUACGGGAGCUGCUCGACAAGGUUUACAAAAAAGCAAGAUGCCAAUUACAAAUUCUUGUGUGUGUCAUGGCUAGGAAGGAUGCUGGCUAUGGAUAUCUUAAGUGGUUUGCUGAGACCAAAUUGGGGAUGGUUACUCAGUGUUGUUUGUCCCGCCCCGCCAACAAAGUCAGUGAUCACCAUCUUGCCAACCUUGCUCUCAAGUUGAAUGCUAAGCUAGGGGGUAGCAAUGUAGAACUUAUAAAACGACUUCCACGGUUUGAAGGUGAAGGGCAUGUGAUGUUUAUUGGUGCUGAUGUCAAUCACCCUGGCUCUCAGAACACAACUAGUCCAUCAAUAGCAGCUGUUGUUGCCACAGUGAAUUGGCCUGCAGCAAACCGCUAUGCAGCUCGAAUUCGCCCACAAGCCCAUCGAAUGGAGAAAAUUCAGAAUUUUGGGGCAAUGUGCCUGGAGCUUGUUGAGACUUAUGUUCAGGCAAAUAAAGUCAAGCCAGAGAAGAUCGUGGUGUUCCGUGAUGGUGUAAGUGAGGGCCAAUUUGACAUGGUUCUGAAUGAAGAAUUACUUGAUCUCAAGAGAGCAAUCCAGGGGGAAAAUUACUGCCCGACCAUCACUCUUAUUGUGGCCCGCAAGAGACACCUAACACGUUUGUUUCCUAAGGUAAAUGAUGGGAGCUUUAAUGGGAAUGUGCCUCCAGGCACUGUUGUGGACACAACAGUGGUCCACCUAUCUGAGUUCGACUUCUAUCUUUGCAGCCACUAUGGUACACUUGGGACAAGCAAACCCACGCACUAUCAUGUCCUAUACGAUGAGCACAGGUUUAGUUCUGACCAGAUCCAGAAGCUUACCUAUAACUUGUGUUUCACCUUUGCUCGGUGUACAAAACCCG
RNAcentral lists this long non-coding RNA (46347 nucleotides) under Vitis vinifera (wine grape). Its description in RNAcentral is "long non-coding RNA (VVIN_LNC003309)". Lineage: Eukaryota; Viridiplantae; Streptophyta; Magnoliopsida; Vitales; Vitaceae. The record is from RNAcentral.